AUAAAUUUUAUUAUUUUUCGAUAUCAUUUGCCUAGUGAUCGAAUAGGCUCAAAAUCAACAAAUUUCAAUAGCCAUAGUGAGCCGUUUGCAAGUUUAACGGUGUAGAAAUAUCCAAAUUACGUGAAAUUUUGAUAGAAAAUUCUUCAUACUAUAUAAAACAAGAUCAAUAUCAUUGACUUAAAAUUUUAAAUGUAUAUAUAUAUAUAUAUAUAUAUAUAUAAUAUUUUAUAUAUAAUAAAGUAGGGCUACUGGGCUAUUAGGAGCACAGCACCCCUUGUGCUCCUAACUUUCUAACCACCCAUCAAGUUUGAUAGGCGGUUAGAAAAAGAUAGGGAGGAGAUAUUGAAGAGAAAUUUAAGGAGAAGAGAAAUUGAAACACCCAAUUUCUCGCCAAUAUCUCCUCCCUCUCUUAUUCUAACCGCCCAUCAAACUUGAUGGGUGGUUAGAAAGUUAUGAGCACAAGGGAUGCUGUGCUCCUAAUAGCACAGUAGCCCUACUCUAUAUAUAUAUAUAUAUAUAGAGUGCUAUCGAGUUUUCGACCGUUGGAUGAAAGGAUGUGCGGUUAGGGUAAUAGUGGUCCUCUAGAAUUGAGUGGGUAAGUGAUUGAAUUUAACUUUCGGACUAUACGAGUUAUAUCAAAUUAAAUAAGAAAAUAAUAACUACACGUCAAAAAAUUCAAACACUACUGGACUUGAGUUACGUUGGAUUUAAAAAUUCGUAAAUCCAAACUAGGGAUGUUACCCGAAAUAUUAUCCGAACCCGAAUCCGACCGGAGCGGAUUUACCUGAGCUAAACAUAUAUAGAUUCGGUUAUGAGUAUAGAAAAUGAAAAAAUGACGGAUAUGGAUACGGGUAUAGAUUUUAGAUUUACGCGAUCCAAACCCGAACCCGACCCGAACCCAAACCCGAACUUUGAACCCGAAUAAAUUAUAUAACAUUUUGAUAUCUAGAGAUUGCAUUAGAUAUUUAGAUAAUGUAUUGUUGUUUUUAACUAUUUAAACUUAUGUUUUUCUUAUCCAGAUAUUGAUAUUGUAUAAUAUGAAUGUUUUAAUAUUGUAUUUGAUUGUAUUUUGAAAAUUUUAUUUUGAAAAUUUUGAUUUUACUAUAAUAUACUUUUAAAUAUGAUAAAAAGAAAUCAUUAUAUUUCGGGUUCGGAUUUUCGGGUUCAGUUUCAGAUUCGGAUUUUGGGUUCGGAUAUGAGUAUGGAUUUUUAAAACUCGUCGGAUUUCGGUCCAAGUUCGGGUUUUAAUUUAAUUUUCAAGUUCGGAUUCGAGUUUUUAAAAACCCAACUCAAACUCGACCCGUUGACAUCCCUAAUCCAAACCCUAUUAAUGCUAAAGGCAUAUGGUACUUACUUGAAUAUACUGUGAAGGGGUAUAAUUCGGUACAAGUCUGAACUGUUGUUCCAUCUUUUUUCCUUAAACAAGUUUGUUUCCAGAUGGGAAUAAGAUUAAUUAAAAUCUAAAUUUAAUUUUAAUGGCAGUAAAUUAUUAAUUAAUCUAAUUAAUAUAUUUAAAUCAUUAUCUAUUACUUAAAUAAUAAAGUAAUUAAAUAAUUUAUCAUUUAUAAUUAAUUAGCUAAUUAACUAUUAAUAAUUUAAUGUGUUUAUAUUCAUAUCGAUCAAUCAUUAAUAUUUUUAUUAUCUAAUUACUAAUUAAAAUAAUUUACUAACUAAUUAAAAAAUUAAAAUUUGAUAUUUAAUUAAGUAAUUAAUAUAUUUUUUAUUAUCGUAUAAAAUAUUUAUAGCUAAUAAAUGUAUUAAUUUAUUAAAUUAUUUUUAAUUAAUAUUUUGAUAUUAAUUAAUUAGUUAAAAUAUUUUUAACUCUUUUUUUUUUCCAAUCUAAUUAUCCAAACACUAUUCAACUUAGGCUUUGUUUGAAACUGCGGAGAAGUUACAUUACAUGCGGUGAGAAAGUACAAUAAAAAAAUACUCUGUUUAUUUAUGUAUAUAAUAUUACAUUUAGCGUAUCGCGAUUAAUCGGUUACGAUAUAUUUUCUACGAUCCUAUCGAAAAAUACAAAAAUAUAUCCUUAUAUAUUUUUUCCUUAACUCUAUUUUAUGUAAUAAAUAGACCUUACCACCAAACUAAGACUUAUUCUCAUAAAUAACCUAAUUUCAUUCAAACACAAAAUUGACUUAGUUCCCAUUUAUAUCUACAUUUAUAUAUAUUACUGGAAUAAACCAUUUUUACUUAUACCUGAACCAAAAGGAGCCGGAAGGGGAAAAUGCUGCCGAUUUGAUUGCGCCCUCGCUGGACGGAGGCGGCGGCAGCGGUGGCGGAGGCGGAAUCGGACGCAGAGGUGAUGAGAUGAGAGGAUUGCAAGCUCUUCUUCUUCUACUUCUCACUCCGGAUCUUCUGCGGGAUCCGUGCGCGAUGACGGCGGCGAUGGCUGAGCGGAGCGGAGCAGAAGCGGGAUUUCGGGCUGGAUUUGGGGCGAGGAUGCGACGGAGAACGGCGCGGAGUCGUGGGCAGAUCGACGGGAUGUGACGGGCGAGCGCUGCGCGAGUGACAGGCAUGGGAUCCUGUCGGUUUUUUUUUUGUUUUGUUUUUUCUUUUCUUUUAAAUGUGUGUUGCCGGUAAUAGGCUCCAACUGGGCUCGGCCCAUUUCGGGGCGAGCCCAACAAUGGUCUAUAAUAUAUUUUGAAAUAUGAUAAAGAGAAAUCAUUAUUUCGGAUUCUGAUUUUCGGGUUCGAAUUUAGGUUCGAUUUUGGAUUUUUAGUCGGGUUCGGAUAUGGGUAUGAAUUUUUAAAACCAGCCGGGUUCGGAUUAGGAUCCGAGUCCUGAUUUUAAUUUGAUUUUCGAGUUCAGAUUUGAAUUUUCGAAAAUUCGAUCCAAAUCCGAACUGUUGACAUCCCUAGUUCUACCCAUUAAGUGGAACGAGUUAUUCUCUAUCUUAUUUCUCUACUAAUUAAGUUAUAAAUAAAAAUAUUAUAAAUUAUAAUUAAAUUAAUGCAAUUAAAUUUUUUAAUAAUUGACUAAUUAAUUAUUUAAAUUAUUGAAUUAAUAAAUAUUUAAAUAAUAAUUUAUUUAUAAUUUAUUAUUAUUUAUCUAAUUAAAUAGCUAGCCAUGUGAUAUGCUUAUUCAAUCAUUAACUAAUAUUUACACUAUUUAAAUAAUUAGUAUUUUAAUUUAUAUAAUUAAUAUAUUAACUAAAAAUAUAAAUGAUUAAAUAAUUAAUUAAUAUUCAUAUUGACUUAUUUUUUGUAGUUAUUUACUAAUUAAUGUCAUCUUUGUCAUCUCAUAUAAUAAUUUUAAUUAAUUUAUUUAUUAACUUAUAAAUUAUUUUUUCAAUCAUAAUAGCUCUUAUCCCUACUAUUCCAAUCUAAUCAACUAAACAUAAUUUUUCUUAUUCCUCUAAAUAUCUUGAUUCUUGUCCAAAUACAAAAUUAAAUUAAUUCCAAUCUAUCCAGUUAUACCUAUUCUACAAUUAAAUAAAAAUAGCUUGUACUCAAGUGGCCUAUAAUAAGUGAAUAGCCUGUGACGUGCAUAUAUAGUCAGUAAUGAGUUUUACAUUAAAUAUAUAUGUUAGCAUUCGGUUAAAUCAAAUCGGGUGCAUCCAUGAUCGGGCUUGAUCCGACGGUUAUUAUGUUAUCUAAUUAAAUUAGAAUUAAUCUCGCUUUUAAAUUGAAAAGCUAAUUAGAGAUAAAUUCUAAUCAUAUUAGGAUAAUAAUUAAUAACCGAUUUGACCUUAUCUCUUAUACACUCUAUUAGGAUUUUGAAAUCCCUUAUAAAUAUACGGCCGAUCUCACAAAAAAGUAUAAGAAAGAGAAUAAAAAAAUCGAGAGAGAAAAACAUAGAAACCACAUCCUUUGAUUAACCUAUUAUUCCAGUGAGGUUUGAAUGGUGGAUUUGCGAACGUGCUCGUUUGUAGUUCGAUCCACCGCGAGUUUGGAGCGAUAGAAGAUUUUCAAGGACGAUCCGAUAACACGUGAAUCAACCUCUACGAUCCGCGCUCAUCGCGUUCUAACGCGAAUCGCUUCCGAAAAAAAGGUACGAACAAAUAUUUCUGCUGCGUUCUACAAUAUAUAUAAUAUAUUUAUCCAAUCCUAUCAUCCCACUGCUUAAACAUCCUAAUCAACAAGCCAAACCCUAAUUAGUCAGAGUCGACAACUUUAUACCCACUCCCUUAUCACAUCAACAACUUCGUUGUGUCCAGGGAUAGAUGAUGCAUCUAUAGGAAAAACUAUUUAUUGUUAUUUUUACUCAAAAAUAACUAAUUUAUAUCCCGUAUAUACCCUUUGUAUCAAAUUUAUAGCCAUUAAUUGGUUUAAUAUUAUUUGUUUAAAGUGAUUAUUAAAAUUAUUAAAUUGGAUGAAUCUGCCAAUGAAUCUGCAAAAGCUUUCAAAUUUUUUGUCAAAAAUCAAAGGUUAAAGAAUCUCAGCCAAAAAAAAAAAAAAAAAAAAAAAAAAAAAGAAGAGAGAAAAUUGAGGAGGCUAUUUCAAAAAUAGCAUAUAAUUAAUUGAGGGGGUCUCCAUAUAAUUUUUUACCAAAAAUAAAAUUUUUGCGUGUAAGUGGAUCUAAUUAGGAAAUGCAUGUAGUUUUCUUUAGCAGGUGAAGGAACUGAUGAGCCAUUUCCAAAAUAUUAUUUAACUUUUCUUGAUCUUUUCCUUGCAUGUUCAAGUUUGAAAAAGGAGAUUUGACUUUGUAUAUCUCUAUAUAUAUAUGACACAAAAUUUUCUCCAAUUUCUCCAGUAGUGUUGUUGAAGUGUUUGCAAUUGCAAUGGGCUCCUCCAAUUCUACAAGUACUUCUCUCUCUUUCUCUCUUUACAUCAAGCUUAUAUAUAUUGUUAAGUACUCUUCAAAUUUUGCUGUAAAAGUAGAAGUUUAAAAUUAGAUCAACCACAUAGUUAGUGUGCGUUGAAUUACGACCGAACACCCACUCAAUACAUUUGUAAACAUAUAUGUGUUGGAUUGAGUUUUGAUCGCAGGUCGAUCAGGGGAGAAGGCUUUCAAGUGGAGGAUCGAUGGGUUCUCCUCCCUUAUUAAUCUAGGCAAUGAGUGGACUAACUCGAGCUCGUUCGAUGCGAAGGGCCUAAAAUGGUAUAUUCGUUUAUUUUGUUCGUUCUCGCCCGAUGAUAAUUUUUUUCUUAAUAUGAUCUUAAUGCUAUCAUAAAUAGAACCUAAGUUACCUCUUGAUCUUCUUUUUACACCUUUUAUAUAUGACUAAUAAUAUUUCAAAUCACUUUAAUGUUUGAGUGAGCUCAUGAAAGAAAACUAGUAGAAUCUCGAAGAAAAAUAGGUUUUGAAUAUAUAUAUCGAGCCUCCUAGAGAGACAUUUGCAUGGCUUUUCGAUGUAUGCAUACUCGCAGGUACAUAAGGGUGAAUCCAAUGGAUACAAAGAGCGGUGAUACAAAAAGACAUGUAUCUCUCAAACUUGAACUCGUGCGAUCAUCUGUGCAGCCUAAUAUUGUGAUAGAAGCAGUGUUCAAGCUUUUGAUAUAUGAUCAGUUGCGCAGAAAGCAUGUCGAAAACAUAGGUAUGCUCUAAAUCUUAUAUUUGAUGAAUAAUUUCAAAUGUUUUCGUUAUUUUGCCGUGUGUAUAUAUGGUGCCAUGAUGUUCAUAGAGUUAGUGUCACUCAUGAAGCAAUAAAAUGAAAUUGUUUUUAUUAUUGUUAUAAGUGGAUAGGUUAUUCCUCGAUCGGUUGAUUAAUCCUUACCUAUAAUUCUAAAAUUGAGUUCGAAAGAUGGUUAAAUUAGACUUGAUCAUCAAAUAGAAAUAGAAAAAGAAAAACCCCAAGAUGUCCUAGAUUAAAAUACAUAUUUACAAAGUCUUACGCGAACAUUCUUAUCGAUUUCUAACCUAGCAAGAACACCUAUUUACAAGUUAUCAAGCUAGGUUUUAAAUCAUCAAACUUCAAUUUCUCAAAGAGAAAAAAAAAUCCAACCUAAAUUUAGACCUAGCCAAAUCUUAGUUCAUUACUUCAUUUAUAUAUAUAUUUGUUAGGAAAUUUUAUGAUUUUGCAUCAAUGAAAAUGCUAAUAUUUUUGCCGCAGCAGAAAACUUCAACUUAACAUCGAUAAGUCAUGUUGCGAUUUGCAGUUACCGAUCACUUCCACGCUACAAGUACUGCUUCAGGAAGUUUAUUCAUGAUCCCCCUCGAUACAUUGAAAGAAUCAUCCGCCGGUUUUCUCAUCAACGAUAGUUGCAUCUUCGGUGCGGAGGUCGUGAAAGUUAGGAAAGUGCGACAGGACACCGUGUCGGAGACGCUAUUUGUGCAGAAGAGCAAGAAUGCUUCCGAUGUGUUCUCGUGGGAAAUCGAGAAGUUCACGGAGUUGCAGAAGCCCUACAGCACCUCUAAAGUUUUCGCCGCGGGCGGAUACAACUGGUUUGUGCUUUGCGUAAACGAAUAAUAUUUAAGCGUCAUGCAAAAACAAAUUUGUUGGAUUAUGAAGAUAAUAAAAUACGUAAAAAUAAUUAAAAAUAAUUUAUUUUUUUUAAUGAGUCUAUUAUGAAAAUUUAUUUUAUAUUUUUUCUACUAUUUAACCGGUGUCUCGUAAUAAAGUUGUUGGAUUUUGUCCAAAGCAAUAUAUUUGUUAACAAUAAUGUAAAGAUUGGCGAGAGAAAAAAAUAGUUUAGUGAUAUCUAUAAAAAAAAAAAUCCAAGAAAGAAAAAAAAAUAAAUUUAAACUACGGUGUAGAGAUUAAAAAAAUACAAUAAUACGAGGGUGUCUUUAAACAAAAAAUUUAUAUAAUAUAGCAAAUAAAAGUAACACUAAAGCACAAUAUAGUAGAGUGUAAUUUUGCCAAUAAAAUGAUAUUUUAAAAGUCGAGCCAAAUAAGAAAGAGUGACAAUUUUACUGUGCUCCUUUCUUUUUUCAUGUUCAUAAGACUAAUUUUAAACAUAUGAUUUAAAUCAUUAACUAUUGAAUUUUCUAUAUUUUAAUUUUAUGCGUAAAUUGUAUAUUUGUCACUAUUUACAUUCAUCUUAUUUAGUUUCGAAUGAAAUAUGCAGGUAUUUGAAACUUCAUCCAGAAGGCGAUGAGGCUACAAACUAUUUAUCUUUAUACGCAACGUUAGACAAGUCCAGCACACUUUCACCCGACUCCGGGGUUCUCGUAAAGCUAAGUUUGUGCAUUAAGGAUCAAAACAACGAUAACCAUAAACGCCACACAGGUUGGUACAUUUUUCUCUAUUUUAGAGAGAAUAAUUUUCAUUCUAUGUAUACUUAUAGUUAUUCUUUUUUUUUUUCCCCCCUAUUUUAUAUUUUGAAUAAAUCUAGCGCAAAUUCAAUUUACCGCAAAGUGCACCAGUUGGGGAUGGGGGAGAUUCAUAUCACUCGAAGAUUUCAACGAUCCAUUCAACGGAUUUCUGUUGAAGAACAAGUGCACUAUCGAAGCAUCCUUCACCGUUAUUGGAUUAUCAAAUCGAAAAUAAAGAUGAAUGGUUAUGACUUGUGAUUAUGAUCAGUGUUUUUUUCUAUAAUUGCGAAAAUAAAGUAAUUAGGAAUUGUGGUUAUGUUAGGAUUUCGGAAUAUUGAACUCUGUUUUUUCUUUUUUCUUUUUUUUUUAAAAUUUUUGAUGAACAAUAUUCAAGUUAUGAACAAUACUUUUUAUUUAUGUUAUUUUAUUUUUUUAAAAAAACUCUGUUUUCAUGUUGACAUAAUUAAAAAAAUAGUCAUACCAAAAUAUUCUUUCUCUUUCAAUCUAAAUACGCCUAUUGUUUGUAUGAUUUGCCUUCAGAAUCCAAAUCAAAAUUGAUGCCUCUAGCUAUUUGCUUCAGUCGUGUUUUUGAUGAUUCAUCAUUUUUAGAAUACUUUGAAAAUAGCAUAAUUGCAAUCUGCAAAGUGUUUGGUUUCUUAAAAAAAAAAGAUUAAUUUCUUUUAAUUUUUUUUUUUCAUGAAAAGCUCAACUUUUUAGAGUUUUUAGUUUGGAGAGUAAAUAGUUUGAGAGGCGAGAACACUACUUUUUCAUAAAAUUCAAAAAAAAAAAUCGGGAGCCCGAGCCAAACAAAUUAAAAAGUAUUUUUCAGCGAAAAUUUUUUUCCAUAAUUUUGAUUUCUCGAAAAAAAAAAACGUAAACUAUUCUUUUCCAUAAUUUUUGUUUAGAUUAAAAAAUUUGAAAAAUAAAAAUACUAUUUCUUUUAUGAAAUCUGAAAUUUUUUAAUCAAAUAUUUUUCAGCGGGAAAAUAUUUUCAAACACCAAACACCCCCUUGCUGAAGCGAACCGGGUCUACCCGGACCCGGUUUGUCCUCAAGCCUAGUUCCCGGUCCGGUUCAGGGUUUCUCAUUUCGCCCCCAAAUCCUUCGGAAAUUAGGGUUUCCCCCUUCCUCUUCUUCUUCUUCACCGAUGCCUCAGAUCCUUGGAUGUGGCACCAACCCCAAUCCUCGAGGUUCGAAGGACUCUAUCAAUGGCGUUGUUCAUGGAUUGAGCGGAACGAUCCAUCUUAUGGGAUCAAAUGUGGAGGUACCUUCGAUUUGAUGAGUUGUUCUCAUUACAAUUAGGGCUCCAAGCUACUAUGAUUUGUGUUCUCUUCAUAAUUUUGUGUAUAUUGAUCAAUUUGCAUGUAAAUAAUAUUUUUUUUUCCAAAAUUUUAUUGAUUUUGUGGAGCUCUGCGUUUGUUGUUAGUCUGAUACUUAGUUGGUGAUGCUCUUUUGCGCUUAGAAUUUGACAUUGGAGAUUAUGACGCUAUAAACCAAUGAAAUAAUCAAACCAUCUUAGCUUAGGUAGUAAGGCAUCUUGGUGCAGAAACCGACCAAUAAAAUAACCAAACCAUCUUAGCUUAGGUAGUAAGGCAUCUUGGUGCCGAAACCGAGUGUGUGCUCUUUAUACUUAUUUGAUAAACAAGGAGACCAAAUAAUGUCGAUCCGUUUUUGUAAUUUACCUUAUACUAAAAGGUGGUCGCCCUAGGUAUUUGGAGUGAAGUGUCACAAAUGUUAUAGCAUAAGAAUUGUGAUGCUAUCCUUGUCUAAACUUGUUACUUAAAUUCAUACGUCGCCAAAGCUUCAGUGACAAGUGGUGGUUGAAUGUCGCUAUCUCAACGACGAACCAUGUACUCUCUUGUCGCAGCUGACCAUGAAAUGAAUGAAGCUAAGUUAGAGACUUCUAUGAAGAGAAUCUUUGGCUUGCACUUAUGGAUCUUACUAUCAAAAUUUUAUGACUACAUUAAUGGAGCAAUUAUUAAUCGUCCUAUUUGUUAUAAGACGAUACUCAAGAAUUAUGCAUCAACUAUGAGAUGAAAUGAUCGAUUGUCCCCAAUGCAAGUGACACAUGGUUUGAUGGUUGGUACCUGUUGGUUCCAAAUUCGAAACCUAGUUGCUACAUAUUUCUAGCUAAGUUUAUUUCUUAAAAAAAUGGAAGAAGCAAGUAACAUGCUAUCUUUUUCUUGCUUAGGAAAAAAGAAAAAACUAUAAGAUGAAAUGAACAUUACAACUUGGGCUCCUUAUACUCUUUGUUUGGUCUAUCCCAGCCCUCAUUUUUGAGUUUCAUUUUCUUUGUUGUUUGGAAUGCAAGUGUCAUAUGUGAACCCUUGUUUGCCUUCUGAAUGAUGUUUCAGAACCUGAAAUGGGAAAACAACUAUAUAAUUUACAUGAUCAUGUAACUAAUUCACUAAGUCAUUCAACCAGUGAUAUCACAAUUUUGUAAUACACACAAAUUGCAAGAGGAUACUAUAGAACAUAUACGAAAUGAGAAAAAUCUAGGAACAAAUAAGUGGAUAUCUGUCAUAUACUAGCAUUUAACAUACUAGUUUAUUUUGGUCUUGGUUGCUAUGAGGUUUAUUUGUCUCCUAAGUUGGUGUAUUGAGAAGAAGUAGGAAGUGGAGCAGAAGACAAACCAAAAGAAAGUUAGCUGAUAUAUCACUGCAUAUAAUGGCUUAGAUUUUUGUGUUAUAUCAGGAAAAUUCGUCUGGUUAAGAAGCGCCAAAUUAAGUGAGUCAAUAACAUCUGUUGACAUUGGGUGCACGGUGCAAACUCGCUGUCCUUUAUUUUUUCACUCAGCUACUUUCUGCAUUACCUAUCGUAAAGCAUCUAUUGUGAUAUGUUGAGCCUUAGUGAUUCAACUUCUGUAAUUUGAGAAUUGUGAGAACCAGAAUCUUCUUCUAACUAGUGUGUGAAUUAUAUUAUUGUCAUGAUGUAGUAUGCUACACAAAAUUGUAAUUUAUACAUUAUGCAAAUGUACUGCCCAAGUUCAGUUUUCAGAAUUUAUACUCUUCUUUGAUCUGCAAUUACAUCUAUGUCGUGUAUUCAUUUUUUUGGAAGUGCUAUGCCGUGCUAUUGUUACGUUCAUGAAACGACCUUACUCUCUAUUUAAUAUUUUUGUAUAAUCCUUUGCUAAGCAGACGAAGAAGGUAGCAGGAAAAAUUGAUUACACUUAUGGUUUACUACUCUCGACAUUUGACAGUCUCAUCUUGGGAGCUCCAUCAAGAUUAUCGUGGUGCACGAAAGAAACAUUCGAAUGGUAUAUUACAUGCUUAUCCUGUUUAUAACAAGGUGUUUACUUUUCUUUUUUCUUUCGUGAAAUUUACUGAUUUAAAACUCAUCUUUGGUGCUUAUUAGUCGCAUCUUUGGAGGUGAGCAGGAUUUAGAAAGAAAAAGUUUCCAGUGCUAGCAGCACUCGCAGAACUGCUGCGAAGGAUCAACACACUGAAGAACAUUAAGGAAGACAUCCUUGCCACAGGGUAUGCAGAGUCUGGAAUCGGGCUGGAACUCAUACUCAUCGCGAGCUCGAUCAAGCAAUUCCUGGAACAAGGGGUGCUCAAGGUAGGAAAGCCUAAUAACGUACCUCUUGCACUCCUCUCCCACAUACACUACCAUGUGACCCUUGGGGACGUCUUUUGGAAUAGUAGUUUGCUCUUCCUCUUUACUAUUCAGAAGAGACCUCUCUAACUUAUUAUACCGACUUGUGGAGGUUGAGAACUCGUGGCGCAUCUUCUUCCACUUCUUCAGGAAAGCCUUGAGGAAUCUCCCCUUUAGUAUCUUCAUUGGUUCUAGUGGUGAGUUGAAAAUAGUGUGGAGCCAAUGAGGAAUGACAUGUGCUUAUAUACUGUAGGGGAGCCAUGGUCUUGGAGCGGUUGCAUGAAUUAGAUAAGAUGAUUGAUGUUAAAUCCUACCAUGCACCGGGAGCACCACAUCAGUUGCGCACCACCCAAUGAGAUGUCGUGCUUCCCAUCUCAUACUUCGGACCUCACCGCAGGGAGUUGUAGCAUUUUCUUGAUCUAGAAAUUAUUCUCUGUAAGAGUGAGUUGGACGAUUAGAUUGAAACAUGAGGAAUGGUGGUGCAUGGCUGGCAGGGUGCACCAGGUCCAGAUGAUAUUUUCUCGGUUAAACAUAGCUAGAAGUGAGCUUUAAAUCCUCUUGAUCCAUGUUAAAGGUUAAAUGGCAUGUAAGGUGCUUAUCAAGUGAUUUUACUCAAAGCAUUAAAUGGGUAUUCUCGGAUGAUUGGUUGGAUGGGAGGUCCAAUGGGAUAUAUAUAUAUAUAUAUAUAUAUAUAUAUAUAUAUAUAUAUAUACUAAUUUUGUUUUUAUUUUCUCUUUUAAUAGCAGGUAAGCUGUACGAAACUGUAUGGAAUGGUACAAUGCGCCCGAUGGAUAGGAGCAAUCUCUUUCCAAAUGGAUUGGCUCUCGAAGCGAAACUGAGCAUAUUACUGCUCCUCGAAGUUCUCAAAGUUGUUGACACCACAUCAUUGGUAGGGGGGGCCAAGGAUAAGGUUUCCGGAAAGGAAUAGAAGAGGAUGGGAGGACUCAUUCAUUGGAUUGGGUGCUGCAUUCAAUUUCGGAGGGAGGUGAGAGCAUUACUUCUUCUGAUGCUUCAAACACACUUGGCUUAUUCAGUCCACAUUUUGUAUUCAAUUUUGAUUCGGCUGCUGAUUAAGUUGAAACCAAACCUACUUUUUCACGAGAUUAGUAGUUGUUAAUGUUACUGUCUCAGUCAUCGAAAAAUAGGAAGUAUGGUUUAUUAAUAUUCGAAGUCCCUUUAAUGGCAGCUACAAAGAUAAGACUGUAAUAGUAACUAAAGUGGAUACAUUGAACUUUUCGAACCUCUUGUGCUCUUUGUAAAUGUUAGAUUCUGAAUGAGAAAAGCAGUAUACUUUGAAAUCUUGUGCUUUGGCUUCUUGAAUAGAUGGUUGAUAACUUGAUUGCUUAUAUGAUUAGUCUAUAAUUCAAUGAUUAGUUGAUUAUUUAUACAGUGAGUUCAUGUUGGUUGAUGACUUGUUCUUGGUAGAAUGUUUUUCGUGAAUACACUUGAGUUAAUAUAUAAUCCUUUUUGUUGUAGUUAAAAACUAAUCCUGUAAUAUUGAAGAAAGAGUCGAAGUACAUAGAACUAUAGAUAAUUUGUGUCUCGUUCCAACCGAUCAAUUUAAUGAAUUAUUGAGGAGGCAAGAUGAAUUAAAUCAGUGUCCUUGUGAAUUUUAACAACUAUCAAAUUAAAAUUCUCCAUGUCACCAUGUUAGUAAAAUGGUCUCAUUCAAAUUCUCAGGCCUUUUUACGUAAGCUGCUGUGACACCUUCUUACAAGUUUUCUCUUGGCUAUUAUAAUUACCACUCUACCUAUGAAUUAAAUCACUGUCCUCUCAAAAUGGUAUAGAAGAUGUAAGUGGGUAUGGCUUUUUUUUUUUUUUUUUUUUUUUUUUUUUUUUUUUUUUUUUUUUUUUUUUUUUUUUUUUUUUUUGAGAGAGAGAGAGAGAGAGAGAUAUUUGCUACCCGUUUUGUUUAUUUUAUUUAGAAGUAAACUUAGCUGGAAAUGUGAAUCAACUAGAAUUCGAACUUAGGACCUCGGAUACCAACCACCAAGCUCUUUGCCACUUGCGCUGGUGAUGGUCGGUGUAAGUAGGUAUGGCGUUGCUCUUUGGUUUUUCUAUAACAAGUGUGUAUUAAUCUUUUGUGGAUUCUAAAUGGUCGAGAUUUGUUGGAGGAAAUGCCGGAAAACUUCUUAUUAUUCAUUACUAGUUAACUUAAUUAUAACUAAACUGAUCAGUAGAUAGAUGUGCAGUAAGUUUCUGUACACCAGGUUGUAGAAAAUUUGCUCCCUUUUCAAAUGCCAGCCCAUUUUGACCUGCUCCUAAAACGGAUGUGUUGGAACUCAGUUUGCAUUGGAACAAGGCCCAGGCCCAGGAUUACUUUUCGGAACCUGUGUUAAUUGGGCUUCUCAUGGGGGUUCCCUGGGCUCAUAUAUUCAGCUUGGCCUGUUUAGUUUCUCUACAUGAAGGAAUAGAGGAUACUAGUUACUACUAUAACCUUAUAUUAGGGUAGUGUCGUGGUGAACGGUCAUGCUUUGGAUACCCAAGAAGAUCCUUUCAGGUGUUUCUGAUGAGUUACUAAUCUGCUGACAUAGGCGAGUACUGACUCAUCAAUAAUAUUAGAGAAGAACUUCUGGCGAAAUAAAGCGGGGCACUGAUGCCGGUACUUUUACUUACAGGUGGCAUUAAAGGUCUCCUGAAGAGUCUCCAGCGUGUGUGGAUUGGCUUUUACAUUACAGACCAAUACAUCAGGUGAUACAGAAACAUAGAGGUGGCAUGUCUCCAUUUGUUCCUGUUGAACAAAAGGCUAUAAUGAAAUAGGAUAAGAUGUUGAUCUUGGAUGUUCAGAGGUGUGAGGGCAAUAAUGCAAACUCCUCUAUCAGGGUAAGAGGGUCCAAUAAUACUACUAUAAAUGGCCACUAUUUUUCUUAGGGCCUACAAUGCCCAAGGGCUUUAAAUGCUGUGGCAUAUCCAUGUCAUCAUUUUUUUUUUCUUUUUUUUUUUUCUGGUGAAUUUUUUCCCUUUUUUGUUGUCAUUAGAGCCUUGUGGUAGGUAGGUAAAAGCAAUCAAAUUGGUGGGUAAUUAUCAAUCAAUGGUUCCACCAAUUUUGCCUCUUGAUGUUGUAGCAAAGGGACAAGUUACUUUUUAAAAGAAAAAGAACAUGACAUCCUGUAUGAAAACAUUAGUGGAUUACAUAAGUUCAUGUCACAAAAAUAAAAGAAACCCACAAAUUUUUCAUGGAUAAUGUUCAGUAAACAGAAAUUAUAAGCUUUACUGGGAAUAAAAUAGAGAUUAAUUCGAGUAUAAUUGCAAAUGUUAAAAGUGUUAGGAUUUGGUUAAAUUUGUAGUUAAUCCUAGUUGGAUAAGAAUUAAUAUUUAAAUCUAUUGGAGUUAAAUUAAAAUUUAAAUAUUAAUUACAGUAUGAAUCUAACUAGAUUAGAAUAAAUAUUUAAAUCUAUUGGAGAUAAAUCAAUUAAGAAAAUUAUUGGAGUAGGAAUCUUUUUUCGACUAGGAUUCGUGUACGUUUUAGAGGAUGCAUUGUAAAAGCACGUUUUGGGAUGUUUUUGGAGUAGAGAGUACAGUGAGAGAGAAUGCUUUCUUAGGUGAAACCAUACCAGGAGAGAAAGUAAUGGUUGCGUGCACUAGGUGCAUGCGUGCAUGUGAGAGAGAAAAAGAAAGAGUUGUCUUCUUUGUGGGUUUAUAGAAGACGAGAGAAGGGUAGGAGAGAUUCAAGAAAGAGGGCUCGGAUUGUAGUUACUCUAUGCAGAAGAGUAGUCAGGUGUAAUCUUAUCUUAUUUAAUGAAUCUUAUUUUAUCCGCAUAUUUUAUGUUUUGAUUUUUCUUUCUUUUGUGAUUAUAUCAACUUUUGUUGAGGAGACGGAUUUAUGAUAAAAACUCGAUUCGACAACGCCUCCGUUGCGGAAUCCCAACAAUCGGUACUGGAUCAACAACAGUCGAUAUCGGAGCGAAUUGCGGAUUCACAAAAUCCGGUACCGGGGUGAGUACCGGAUUCCCAACAAAAAGUACAAAGUUUUAAGCAAUAAACAAAUAAAUGGUCCUAUUUGCGUCUCUUAAGCAUUACCAACUAACUGAUUGAUGCAAUCCUCAUUUGUUUCAACUAAGAAUCGACGUGGAAUCAUCAUUUUUUUCAAGAAAAUAUUGGAUGCUUAAGCAAUGCUCACUACUAAGCUUCAAACACCUAAUAAAGAGAAUUUUGUGAUCUCUAAUUAAUGAAUCACUUGAAGAUUUGUUGUUACAUACCAACAAAGUUAAGGUUUAUGCGGGCAUACCUAACAUCCCUUUAUCUUUACUUUUCUUUCUUCUUCUUACAUGUUAUCAUGGUGACACAUGACAUAAAAUGAAAAGUUGUGUGAUUACCUAAGAAGUCACAUUGCAAAACUCAUGGCAAUUUUUGUCUUUGUUUAGAUGAUUGGUUUUGAGACAAAUGCACAUGGACAAAAGUACCACAAGAAGAGAGAAAAAAAAAAAAAUCAUGGGACUAAAAUAUUGUGUUGAUUGUUUAAGCUAAACAAAACAGAGCUGCUUGUAUUUGCAAUAUCUCAUGAGAAAGAUAUACCAGCUACAGUUCUAAAAGUUAUAAGAUAUGUUUGUUUAUGGGCAACUGCUUUUUUUUUCAUAUUAGGUUUGUUUGAUCAUCUCUUAUUACUAAAAAAAGAAUAAGAUAAAGGCAAACGUUAUGCAUGCGUAAAUAUGAAAAACUCUUUUCAUGUAAGGUUCUACUUUGCUCCACUAUAAAUGUACUGUUGUUUGAUGAAAUGAUAUAUAAAUAGUGAUAUUAGAAGAAUAGCUAUAAUAUUAGAAUAUUUUAAAUAACUUAUCCGUAGUAGAAUCAAAAACACUUUGAAUACUUAAAAUCUCAUUUUACCCGUCGGGUUUUUGUGAGAUGUUCUAUUACUAUUUCUAAAAAUAAAAGUAAAAGUUGGACCAAACAGUUACUUUGUGUCCGCGAUUAUUUAGUUCAAUAAUUUAAAGAUUGCUUUCUCAGGCAUUUGGAAAAGUGAAGUACUUGAUUAGUACAGCACAUUUUUGAUAAAAAUGGCAUCUUAUCAACUAAAACAGUAAAAGUAGCUAAAUGCUUUGUAAGAGGCCACUACAUAUAAUGCACAUCUUUUUCAUGGUGGGUUAUUGAGUCAUUCCACUUAGGAACAAUUAGUCCAGUUUAAACUCUAAAAGUUUAAUUAAACCAGUUUGAACUUUUGAAGGUCACAUACAAAGCCUUGUAGAGCAAUUUUUCUUUUUCUUUUUUUUUAAAAAAAACUAUUAGAGCAGAGAGUAUUGAUUAAUUAUUAGUUAUAACAAAAAAAUAUAUGGUUGAUGAAAUAGUGAGGGAAAACUUCAAAAACCUCCUAUGUGGUUUCAUACAUUAUCGCUUUAGCACCCUGUGAUUUAAAGUGUAUCAAGUUAGUAUUCUGUGGUUUUUCACUUUAUCACUUUAGUACCAUGUGGUUUAAAGUGUAUCAAGUUAGUACCCUGUGGUUUUGCACUUUAUCAUUUUAGUACCUUGCGGUUUUAAUUUUGUAUCAAGCUAGUACCCUGUGAUUUUUAAAUCACAGGAUACUAAAGUGAUAAAGUGCGAAACCACAGGAUACUAAAGUGAUAAAGUGCAAAACCACAGGGUACUAACUUGAUACACUUUAAACCACAUGGUACUAAAGUGAUAAAGUGAUAAACCACAGGGUACUAACUUGAUAUAUUUUAAACCACAGAGUACUAAAGUGAAAAAAAAUGAAACCACAAAGGGGGUUUUUGAAGUUUUCCCUGCUAGGGAUUAGCUUGCGUGAAAUGUACGAAUCCGUCUCAAUCGGAUUAAUCACCAGUCAAUUAGUAGAAGAGAAGCUAUUUUCAAAUACAUGAUGCUCAAUCACCCUCACUAUAAGAAACCUCACCUCAAAAUUCAAAUCAAGGAGGAAAUUAUACAAAUUGUCGCUUCCCGGAAAUUUUAAAAAUUAAAGAAAACGGAUUAUCGUUUUCGUUUCGAAUAAGUGUAUAAAUAUUAAUAACUAUGGUAGCUCUUUUGAACAAAUCAUUUCACAUUAAAUAAAGCCAUCGAGAGAACAUAUGUAGUGUGAGUAUUUUUCUUAUAAUCACCUAAAUGAUCUUCUAGGCCUCAAAGGAAAAUCUGACCAGUUAAACCUACGGUCAAUCUGAAGAAAACUAUUAAAAAAAUUAAAUAGUUAUAUUCAAACAAUACUUUUUAUAUAAAUCAUAGAUUUCCAAUAAUCAUAUAAUUAAGUUUUUUUUUUUUUGAGAGAGAAAGAUAGCAUGCUACCCGCUUCGUUUAUUUCAUUUAAAAAUAAACUUAGCUGGAAAUAUGAAUCAAUUAAGAUUCGAACUUGGGUUUCGGGUACCAACCACCAAUCCCUUUUGCCACCUGCGCUAGGGACGGUCAAUAUAUAAUUAAGUUAAUCAUGCAAUUUUGUCCCCACAAUGUAUAUAUAAUUAUACAUUCAUGAGUUGUUCCAAAUAGUUCCUUUCCCUAUUUAAGAUUUCUCACAAGAGCCUCUUGAAACUGUUUCCAAACUGUGGGGUACACUCAAAUUAUUGUAACCACUCACCAAAAACCCUGAUCUAAUAAAUUGGGAGGAUAAGUAGGAAAACCAAUAUCCCCUAACAUUUAAUGGAUAUAUAUUGUUGUUUUGGGGCCACUCAAUAUUUACUUAUCCAUACAUAUAUAUGUCAUUCAAUUUUAGGAUGGAGGAGAGGAUACAAAUAUCAUGUGAGCUUUUAGGUGUGAGAUUACAAGAUAAGGGACUUUGGCUUAGGUAGGUAAAAUAGGUAAGAUGUGAUGUUAUGACAUAGAAUAUGGGCUUGGUCUAAUUUCUGAAAAAGUAAUUUCUGAAAAACUAAUUUUGGUUUGGAGAAGUGAUUUUGGUUAAAAGCUGUAGAGCGUUUGGCUGAGUUUAAAUAAAAGCGAUUUUUCUGAAGUGAUUUUUAAAAGCAGUUUGGCAAAAUAUUUUUGAUGUUUGCAUAAAUUAAUAUUUUAACUAAAUUUUAUUUCAAAAUAAUUUAAAAUUUAAAUUUAAAAUUGAAUUAAAAUUAAAAUUUGUAAAUUUCAAAAUUGUACAAAAUUUAAAAUUUGAUAUUGUAAUUUAAAAAAUAAUUUAAUAAUUUUAAAUUUUAAAUUUAAAAUUUAAAAUUUAAAAUUUAAAAUUUAAAUUUAAAAUUUAAAAUUUAAAAUUUAAAAUAAAAUUUAAAAUUAAAAUUUAAAAUUAAAAAUUUAAAAUUUAAAAUUUAAAAUUUAAAAAAAAUUUAAAAUUAAAAUUUAAAAUUUAAAAUUUAAAUUUAAAAAUAUAAAUAAUUGUGAAAUUUAAAAUAUAAAAUUUUAAUAUUAAAAAUGUAAAUUUAAAUUUAAAUUUCAAAGUUCAAAUUUAAAAUUUUAAAUUUAAAAUUUAAAUAAUUAUGAAAUUUAAAAUUUAAAAUUUAAAAUAAUUAUGAAAUUUAAAAUAUAAAAUUUAAAUUUGAAUAUUUAAAAUUUAAAAUUUAAAAUUUGUAUAUUUAAAAUUAAAAUUUGAAUAUUUAAAAUUUAAAUUUAAGAAUUUGAAAUUUAUAAUUUGAAGAUUAAAACUUGUAAUUUAAAAUUUAAAAUUUUUAAAUUUUUAAAUUUAAAUUUUAAAUCUAAAAUGUGAAAAUUUUAAAUUUUAUCUUAAGUUUUAAAUUUGAAAUUUGAAUUUUAAAAUUUGAAAAUUUAAAAUCUAAAAUUUGAGAUUUAAAAUUUGAAAUUAAAAUUUAAAAUUUAAAGUUUGAAAUCUAUUUUUUAAAUUUUAAAAUUUAAAAGUUAAAAUUUAAAAAUUCAAAAAUGAAAUGAAAUUAAAAUUUAAAAUUAAAUUUAAAUUUAAACAUUAAAUUAAAAUAAAAAUAAAAAUUUGAAAUUUCAGUCUAAAAUCAGAAUCAGAUUUCAAGAAGCAGUUUUUUUCUGCUUCUGAUUCUGGUUGCUUCAAAAUCAAUUUUCUGAUUCUGAAAAGCAGAAUCAGAUUUAAAAAAUAAGGUUGCCAAACACUCUAUUGAAUCAAAAAUCACUUUUCAACUCAAAUUACUUUUUAAAAGCUAGGCCAAACACCCCUAUGUUUCCAGUUACUAACUUUUUUUCUGCGCUUCAAAGAGAAUCAUAAUGCUAAUUAUUCUGCAUUGAGAAAGAGAAUUCUUCGUGAAAAUUUGAUUCUUUGCUAUUAGAAAAGUCGUGCUAUACAUCAAAUAUUAAUGCUAUGAAAGAGGUAAAGUCUUUGCUCGGAAAGAAAAAAUAAAAAAAGAAGAAAGAAAGGAGAGAGAAGAGGGAAAAUUUUAAAAAAAAUCAAAAGAAAUUUAAGCAGAAGGAUAAAUUUUAUAAGAUGUUAGAAGUUUAGAAGUGUAUGACUUAAAAUUUGGAGAGAUAUAUAGGUUAUUUACUUAUGUUCAAACUUUAGAAGGCGUUUCAACAUUUUUUCCUUUUUGCACAAAAAUUGAGAAAUAUAUCGAGAACUUCUCUCUAUUUCUAUGUUACUAUGUACAUGCAUGAUACGUUUUCAAAGAGUAAUCAAUAGAGUUUUAGAACUUGAGAGAGAACUGUUUUCUAAAACAUGGCACAGAUCACACAAGCAUAUGGUACUUUAGUAAUUAAACCAAGCUAAAACUGUGAUUUAGGUCAUGUUUACAGCUACUUAGAUCGACGACUGCAAUAGUCAAAUAAAUAAAUCAUGUUUAGAACUUUAUUAACAGGUAAAUACAGGUAUUUUAGUUAGUUGCAUGUCCUUAAUUAUUCAACUGUGUGUGUGGUUGUAACAUGCACUUUAAAUUUGUGUCGUACAAGGGUGCACAGUAGAUCCACUUUCUCAAACAGUAUGUUUCACUUUUGCAUACACAAAAGGCCAAUUUAUGUCACAUUACAUGGUACUAUAUAUAUAGUCUUGGUAUAUAAAACCACUUAGCCUCUAUCUUUCACAGCUUUGGUUGGUUGGUUGAAUUUUCUAGUUUGGAUAAAUGUUAUUUGAGGUGUCAUUAAGCCAUUAUCUUUGUAACAUGAGGUUAACUAACUCUAGUUAGUUGACAUAGAGUUAGUUAGGUUCUAGGGUUGAAAAGGUCAGGAGAAAGGAUAUGUGUUGGUCCCUUAUCACAAUUGUGCUUUUUCUCAUUUUGACAAGGGAUUGAUGCAUCAUGUGUUGUUGGGUGGUAGAGAAAGGAUCGACAUGGAGUAGUCCAAAUAUCUCAAUCCGUUAAUAUCAAUCAAUGCAGAGAUAAUGAGGUUUUAUAAGGGUUUGAUGGGCUUGGAAGCUUGUAAGACUAUGUAGGAAGAGGACAUUAUUAUAAGAAGUUAAAAUUUAACCAAAAAAAAAAAAAAGAACAAAAAGAACAAAAAAAAGAGAGGAAAGAAGUCGCGCCAUGUGGCAAAAGGCCUUCCCUUUUUUGUGGAGAGAGAGAGUGAGAGAUAGAAGUUGCGCCAUGUGGCGAAAAAGGGUUUCUUCUUCUUCUUUUUUUCCUUUUUUUUUUUUUUUUUUUUUUUUUGUGGAGAGAGAGAGAGAGUAAGAAGUAGUGCCAUUUGGCGAAAAGGGUGUCGCUUUUUUUUUUUGUGGAGAGAGAGAGAGAAACGUGGUAAGUUAUUAGUUUCGAACUUACGUUCUCAAGUACUAACCAUCAGGCAUUUAAUCAAUUAUACAAGCUACAAUCGGUGGAGUUGGGACAUAAAUGCAUGGAGAUGUGCUUCCUUUGUUUCAGAUGGUAUUGCUGUACUCACCAUCUUAAUUUCACUAGUAUGAUCUGCACGACAUGCUUUUUAAUAAUAAAAUUUGGUGAAAGUUUCUUACUAUAUGCAUUAACACUUUUAUUUACGAGCCUGAACAAAACCUAAGAAAUGCACUAAAAAUCAAAUCAACGAUCGAUAUUACCUUCUUUUUAAUCUUAAAAUAUUCUUAGGGUGCAUUUGGUUUGGAUUAUUCUGACAGAAUUACAAAUAAUUCUGUCAAUAUUACUGUGUUUGGUUCAUCCGUUAUGUAAUCAGGUCAGUAAUAUUGCAAGAUUAUACAGAAAAUAUUACCGAAAGGAGGGGUAUGCAAAUUGGAUUAGUAAAGGUGGUUAAUAUUGUAUGUUCUAUAAAAUUAUAAGUUACCCCUCCAACUAUCGAAAUCCUUUCAAUACAUCAUUUUAAAAGUUUUAAUUUAAAAUUUUGAAUUGUCAACUUUUAAAUUUUAAAAUUUGAAUUUUAAUUUUGAAUUUUCAAAUUUAAAAUUUAAAAUUUAAAAUUUUAAACUUCAAAUUUAAAAUUUUAGAUUUUAGAUUUUAAAUCUAAAAUUUAACUAAGGGCAAUUUUGAAAUAAACUAUGUUUUAGUGUCAAAAUUACUGAAUUUUAUAAACUGAACCAAAUAUAAUAAUAUUAUAAAUACUGCAAUCAAGUAGUACAUUAUUGUAUUAAACCAAACGCGUUAAUGUAGCAUCAGUAGUAAUCUUAUUUAAAAAUUCAAGAUAUCUGGAUAUAUCGAAAUACUCUGUAAUAUUAUAUACGCCAAACCAAACGCGCCCUUAAGAAACAAAUCAUAACUCUAACAAGCUAAGUUUAUUUCUAAAUGAAAUAAACGAAGCGGGUAGCGUGCUAUCUAUCUCCCUCAAAAAAAAAAGAAAAAAAACAAAAAUGAAGGAUAUUGAUUAGUUGGUUGGCCCUGCAAGCAUGUGCAUAUCUUGGUGGCUUCUCAAUCACUCCCACUAACAACCAAGUGUAAUACCCAUUGGAGACAAAUAGGGAUGCAAAUGGAUCCGGAUUGGUGGAGCUUCGCCCCGAUUCGUCCCGAAUGGGAUGGUAAGUGGGAACAAAAAAUAUAAAAAAAUAUAACCCGCCCUGAAUCCCCCCCGAUCCGCCAAGUAAAUAGAGCAGGAGGCGGGAGACUCUUUUCUUCCUUCAAUCUAUCCCGAUCCGUUAAAAAUUCGCUCCCGUCCCGAUCCGCCCCGAAUGGAGCGGUAAGUGGGAGCCAAAAAUAAAAUGAAAAGUAACCCCCCCCGAAUCCGCCCCGCCCAGAUAAAAAAUAGAGUGAAAGAUGGAGAAACUCUCCCGCCUCCGGAUCCAUCCCGUUUGCAUCCCUAGAGACAAAGUUAAGAAAAGAAAUAAGCAUGGGACAAACUCCAUAGGGCAAAAGACCACAGAGGAGGGAGUAUUUUGAUUUAAAAAUGUCUUCUCACCUCAUUUGGAGACAAAAAGUAAAAAAAAAAAUUGCAUAGCCAUGUUCAUUUCCUAUUUAUAUAUUCUCUUGGAAAAGCCUCAACACAUGGAACAAAGAGGAUAUGUUAGACAACUUGCCACUUGCAAUGUGUGUGUCCCCUUUCUUUCUACUAUUUUCUUUAUUCUAUUUUAAAAGUAUUUUUAAUAGGGCAUGGGGAAAGCAAAAAAAAUCAACCAACAAGUUACGUGUCACUUUGACUCUUUGAAUAGAACUUAUAUAUAUAGUAGAGUUACUAUACUAGUAUAGAGCCAUUCGUACUCAUAAGUUAUUUUCUGUUGGAAUUUUUGAAUCGACGAUCUACACCGCUAAACAUGAUCUAUAGUAUUUGAAACUUUUAGAAAAUAAAUUUCGUAAUUUUUCGAAAUCAUUAUAAAGUCUAUAUAUCAAGCCAGUAUAAAAUGAAUAGUCAAAAUCGAACGACAUCCUAAAAUGGAUGAUCGGAUCCUUCAAUUUAAGAUCAGAGUUAUUGAUUUUUAUUUAGAUAGUGAAUAGAAUUUUCUAUCAAAAGUUUAACUUAUUCCGACUCUUUUACACCUAGUAAACUAACAAAUAUCUCAUACCGGCCGUUAAAAAUUGUCAAUUUUUUAGCUUUUGAUCGUAAGGUAAAUGAUAUCAAAAAAUUAUAAAAUUUGAUUUCUAUAGAAGUUUUAAAUGUUCUAAAUGAUGUUUAACGGUAUAGAUCGUCGAUUCGGAAGCUCUGUCAUAAAAAAUAACUUAUGAGUACGAAGGCGAUCGUACUCAUAAAAAUAUAGUAACUGGACUCUCUCUCUCUCUCUCUCUCUCUCUCUCUCUCUUUAUUUCAAUUCAAUCCUAUAUCUUUGUUACGUUUAAUUUUGAUUUCGAUUUUGUUAGCUCAUCAGAUUCAUAUUUACUUUUUAGGCUGAAGAGGUCCAUCAUCCUCUUAUUUUUAAUUUUUUUAAAACUCUAAAUUACAUAAUUGGUUUUGGAUGAAGGUAAAAAAUAAGUAAAGAUGUUGUCCUAUAUAUACGGCUAUACCCUAAAAUUGAGAAAUAUUUAAUUACCGUUAGCAUGUGAUAACUCUAUUUUCGCGUAAACUCUCUAAGCGAUAACUCUGUCUUAUAAUUUCUAAUAUUUUAUAGAUCAUGCAAAAUAAGAGAACGAAUAAAUUGUGAAGGAUUAUUAGAAGAUGUGACAGGUGAUACAAUUUUUCAUCAGCUAAAGCCCGUUUGUUUUGGUGUAAGUGGAGUGAUGGAACUCAAGUUCCAUCACUUCCAUUAUUUGUUUUGGUGUAAGUGAAAAUUAUAAUGUAACUCAAGUUAUGUUAGAGCUCCACUUCACCUACUCUCGACUUCCGGCUCUAAAGUACCGAACUCGACUUCCACCACACUCAACCUUUUCUAAACAAUUUAUUAAACAGUAAAACCUAAACUCUACUUUCUUUAUAAUGGGUUAGAAUUACCUUAUUUAUAAUAAAUUAAGAUUAUCUUUAAAUAAUAAUAAAAAAUUUAAUUAUAUAAUAGGUUAAAUUUUAUAGUAAUAAAUUUAUUACUAUAUUUAGGAGAUAAUGGGAUCCACUUACUUACAUCAAAACAAACAACGGAACUCAAAAAACUAAUUUUACCAACACCAAGUUACAUCAAAACAAACAGCAGAAGUGAUUGAAUUUAACUUUCAGUGAUACGAGUUACGUCAAAACAAACAACAGAAAAAUAAUCACACUUCAGGAAAACUCAAACACCACUACACUUGACUUACGUUGAAUCUACAAAUUCGUCAAUCCAAACGCCCAAGCAGAUAAAAAUGCAUUUUCUAUUAUUUCCAUCCUAGUGAAGAGAAAAGAAAUAUAAAUAGCAUGCAUUAUAGGGUACCACUUGCACAUUAUAUAUAUAAAUAUAUAUAUAUAGGAAGAAGAGUGUAUCUAAGCUAAAGUACAAGUGCAUAUGAUUCUUAGAAAAAUAUCCAAAGAAUUAAGAAUAUGAAUAAGUAUCCUUUAGUAGAAUAAGAAUAUUUGGGAUAUCCCUGUUCCUAGCUAGUGGGUGUUUGUUUGGAUAAUGGAGAUAUUUUAGCAAUGUCACCAUGAUAUAAAAAAUAAUAAACUAAUGCAUUGGAGUAAGUUUAGAGAAACAACAUAAAAUAAUGCAGCUAUAACUUUCAUAUAUAUAUAUAUACCACUUCAAGAUUCAUGUUAUCACUUAUUGAGAAUAAUAAAAGCUAAAUUGUAUGUAGAUUUCUCCUCAAAUAUAUAUGGGGUAUUUUGAGUAUUUCUUUGCCUUUUAUAUUUUUGAGAAUUGAUUGACUUUGUGAGUGAUAAAUUUUAUUAAAUUCAUUGCUAAGAUUUUUAAUCAAAUACAACUAAAAAAAAUAAAAGUCUAAGGCUAAAAUAACUCAAAUAAGAGAAAAAUAGAAGCUGUUGGGAUGCUAAUUAGAAAAAAAAAUAUAAGUCCAAUUUCAAAAUGUAGAAUAGUCAGGGAGGCAUUAAUAUAUUAUUUUUUUCCCUUUUCAAAGCUAACAAUCUCAUGAUCUCCAACAUAAAUAUUUGGAUGUCGGAAUAAAUAUCUAACAAUAAUUAGGGUUGAAAGUUAGGAGUUUAAUAUUUCCACCUUGAAAAUAAUGUUGGGAUUCAUGACUUGUUAUAAUAGUAUACUUGAAAAAUCUUAAAAUUUACGACUUGUUAAAAUAGUAUAUUUUACUUAUAAGAUGAUUUAUUCUAUUGUAGAAAAAAUGCUAAAUUAUAAAAAGUUUCAUUACACUUUACGUUCGAUCUCAAUUAUCCAUGUACUAAAAUUGCAUCAAUUAUUACCCUACAUUUUGGCAUAAUUUCAAAUAGAUUAAAAAUAUUUAAAAAUUCGGCAAAUUAAGAUAUAAAACUUUACUAAAACGAGUUGAUCUAUUAUAUUAUUCCACAUCUCAAAAUAUAUGCCAUUUCCAAUUCAAAACAUAUAAAAAAAUUUAGAUAAAUAAGAUCUUUUCUUUUGCUAAUGCUGUCAAAAUUGAUAGUUUACCGAGCAGUUUAUUAAAUUUGUACGAUCAAUUGUAUUGCUUAUCGAUAACUUUAUCAGUAAAUCUAUUUUUACAAAAUUUUACAAUUGAAUUUAAUAAUUACUCUAAAUUUAAAUUGCUAGACUAUAAUAAAAAAAGGAUAAUACCUAAUACGUCCUUUGAAACUUUAAAAUAUUUUAUUUAUUUAUAGAGAAUCAAAAUAUUUUUAUUAAUUUUAAAAAUUUCUUCUCAAAAUUUAUUAAAUAAAAUUAAAUUUUUAAAAAAUAUUUUAAUACUUUUAGAAUAAAUUAAAAAAUUGUAAAUAAUGAUUUACAUAAUUUUUUAAAAUUUUUAAUAUAGAAGGGUGAUUAAAAGAAGGGAUUUUGAACUCUCUGAACGUCUAUAUUUUGGUAUUCUGUUUUGUUCAGCUUCUUGUCAUUUUUUACUAAUGAAAAUUUAGUUUUUCUUUGAAAAAAAAAAGAGAAAAAAGAAGAAGAAGAAGGGAAGUGCUUUUCCAAUUAAAAAGGAACUAAUGCGGCAUCUAGCCUUAUUGAGAAAAAAAAUUUCCAAUCUAGCCUUCUUCUUAAAAAAAAUUCCUAAUCUAGUCUUUUUUUGAUGGAUUAGAAAAUAAAAAUGACUUAAGAGCAUAUUUAUAUGUUAAUUAGGAGAGAGAAAAAUUUUCUCUCUCUUUCCUCUCAAUUAAUUCUUAUAAUAAUAACAAUAAUUAAAAAUUAAUAUUUAAUAUCAUUAUUAUUGAAUGAUAAUUUUAUUAUUAUUAUUAUUAUUACUAGUAUUUAGUACAAGUGGUAAAUCACUUGGUGGUCGGUAUUUGAAGUUCUGAGUUUGAAUUAUUAUUAUUCCAGCUAAAUUUAUUUCUAAAAAAAAUAAAUGAAGAGGAUAGCAUCAUGCUAUCUUUCUGAAAAAAAAUAUUAAAUAAUAAUAAUAAUAAUACUAAUUAUUAAAUAUUAAUUUUUAAUAAAUAAUAUUAUAACAAAAAUUAAUUAUUUUUAAAUAUUAGUAGGGUUGGGAGGAGAGAGAGAAAAAAAUUUCUCUCUCCUAGUUAGCAUAUAAAUACUAUUAAAGUUAUCUUUUAUUUUCUAAUUAUUAAAAGAAGGGUAGGUUAGAAAUUUUUUUUAAAAGAUGGCUAGGUUGGGAAUUUUUUUUUCUAAUAAGGCUGUACAUGACAUUAGUUCAUUAAAGGCAGCGUUUGGUUAGGAAAUAGGGAUAGAAAUAGGCCCUUAUCCCCCACUUUAUACCCAAACGUUAAUUUUUUAUCCGAUAAUAGUAGUUCUCGGUUAUCCCCACCAAUACCUUCAUUUUCUAUAUAAAAUUACUUAAAAUUGUUCUUAUCCUCGGGAACAACCCAAUCUUCAUCCAAACACUAUUUUUUUUAUCCUCAUACUUGUAUUUAUUCUUGUAAUAGUUAAUUCUUGCUUAUACCUGGACCAAACGGUGCCUAAAAAGUUGGAAAUCGAUUUUCCCAUGCAGAAAAAUUGGGGCCUCGUGAGCAACGCCUCCGUAAACUUUUCCUGUUCCCGAGGUCAUCGUGGUCACUGUAACGCAAUAGAGAAAAUAAGUGCACGGACCUAUCAGAUGUAACCACUUAUAUAUCGUACGGUCAAAAUUCAUGACUCCCCCCGACCUUUUUCUCCCCCCCCGAAGUGUACGUAGUACUCUUGUGAAAACGAAUAAACCCGGAAUAUGCUCCAUUCCACAGAAUCCGCACCACAAUGAAGGCCCCCAUGAAAGGUCUAGUAGUCCCAUUGUAGCUUGUGCGUACACUCAAGGGAUAGAUUCUGUAUAAACAUAUUAAAAUAGUAAUAACUACAUUAAUAAAAAAUAUAAAAAAAUAAAAUUAUAAGAAUAAUAGUAAAUUAUAUUUCUAAUAACAGUGGCAUUUAAUCCCGGGUGGUAUGUGAUGUAUCAUAAAUUCGAUUCUAAUUCUGUAAACCAAUAUUCCAAUAGUAAGACAUUUAUUAUAUUAUGAAUUGGGAACCCACCUAGGGAUGCCAAUGGGUUGGGUUUGGAUGGAAUUUUUAAAAAUCCGAAUUCGAAUCUGAAACCAAAUUAAAACCAGUACUCGGACCUGAAUCUGGCGGAUUUUAAAAAUUCAUACCAAUAUCCAUACAGGACCAAAAAUCUGAAAUCUGAACCCGGACCGGACAGGUUUUAAAAAUCCAUACCUUUGAAUGAAGAUCUAAGAGAUAAAAAUUAUUAUAUAUUUUAUAUAUUAUAUAAAUAAAUAAAAUAAAGUAUGUAUAUAUAUAAUUUAUUCGGGUUCGGGUUCGAAUCGGAUAAAUACAAAAUCCAUAUCUGUAUCCAUAUCCGUCGAAUUUUUAUUUUCUAUCCCAUAACCGAAUCCAUACUCGUUUAGCUCCAGUAAACCCGUCCCGUUCGGAUUCGGGUUCGGAUAAUAUUUCGGAUAUCCAUACCCAUUGACAUCCCUAAACCCACCAAAGCCUCCCUGCGUUUGGCGGGGAGCUUUGGUGAGUCCCACCUUUUAUUUUAUUUUUUAUUUUUUUGCCUCUCACUGACAUACACUCUCUCUCUCUCUCUCUCUUAUUUUUUUUAUUUUUUUUCUCUCAAUAUUUUUUUUUAUUUUUUCCUAGGACAAUUCUUUUUUUAUUUUUACUAUAGAUAUAUAACAAAAUUAAAAUUUUAUCUAAUUUGGAACUCAAAGAAGGCCUCCCUUAUUAUGGGAUUGUGGGGUCCACAAAUUUUUUUGAGAUUUUUUUAGGAUUAAUUGAAUAGUGUUGCCCAAACUUUCCACCAUUUUUUUUUGGUUCCUAUUUUUUUUUUUUUUACAAUUAAGUUUUCAAACAUUUUAAUUUCAUUGUGAUAAAAUAGCAAUCGUUAAAAAAUAUUUUAUAAUUAUCGAAAUUAUCAUGUUAUCGCCUAUUUAAUCUUUUUUUUCAUGUCAAUUUUGAUUCUUAAAUUUUUUAUGCUUUUCACUUUAGUUCCUAAAAUAUAUAUGAAUUGGAAGUCCUAAAAAAGGUCUCUCCUUAUUUUGAAGGGUUAUGGGGCCCACACAAUUUUUUAAAAAAUUAUUCAUACCAAUUUUGAUAUAAAUAAUGUGAAACUUCAAAUGAAUGUCUGGAUGUAUGCGCAGCUUAGCUAUAUAUUAUUAGUAUAUUACAAGCAACUUAGGUAUAAACAAUAUUUUUUGACAAAAUAAAAUUAUCUAAAAUUCAAGUGGAGAAUUUAUUAUCCGUCAAUUUAUGUAUGUUAUCUCAUAUAUAACAUCCUUCAAAUAUUUUUAGAAAGAAAUAUAUUUUAAUUUAAUUCUUUUUCUUUAAUUUUAAAUUAUUCAAUAAUGAAAUAAAUAAUAUUAAAAAAUAUUAAUACAUAAUAAAAAAAAAUUGAUGUUAAUAGUUGUAAUAAUUUACUGUUAUAUUAUUUUUCCGUUGCAGUGCGCCCGCGGCAUCGCACGGGGCGCUUAACUAGUAUACUUAAUUGGUGCAGAUGCUUGGGUGAAAUGUCAGAUUAGUAUUCAGAGAUAGGAUCGAUAACCCAAUAGUAAGAUACAUUGUGACAUUACAUUUUAAAAUUCAAUAUAGUUCUAUAUAUGAGAUAUAUUAAGAUAUAAUAAGAUUAGAUUUGCAAUAGUAUUUAAAUAGUGAUUAAGUUCAAAAAAUUAAGAGGAUUAGACUUACGAGAACUAGUUCCUCUGGGAAGGCCCUUGUCAAACUAUUAUUUGAUUUGUAUAGAUUACGAGGGUGGAAUAUGAGAUUAAUAUUUGAUACAUUCCAAAUAGAUACGAGGUCCAAAUUUAGUAUGUAAUUUGUUGAAUAUGUUAUGUAACACUUCAAUGGAUAACAAAUAAAUUAAUUAAUAUUUGUUAAUGAAAUUAAUGAAAAAUUACGAAGAUACUCAGAGUAUUUUAAAGAUAUUAUUUGUAAUGAAAAACACAGUAGAUAUACUCCAUCUCUUUGGAAGUACAGAGGCAGCAAAUACUAAGCCCCGUAUUUUACUCGUAUUUUCUUCGUAUUUACAUCACAGCGAGAAACGCCAAAAUAAAACUCUAUCUUCAGAGCACCGUAUUCACAAGCGCAAGCGCUGGCAAAAUAGUAAAACCAAAACGACAACAGUAGUAACCCAAAACCCAAAAACAGAGAGUUAAUACGGCGUAUAUACGGCUUAUGUACGGUAGUCAUACGUCGUCUUCUUCCUCUCCCUCUUCCUCCUCUUCAGAUCGCGUUCUCGCUCAGUCCCCCUCCACUCAUUAUCCACGGAUGCCCUAAAAAAACCAAGUUAUAAAAGGAAAAAAAUUAUUAGAAACCGAAAAUAGGGGAAAUUGUGGUAAAUCCACAUUUGGGGUAGUUAUUGGGUACGCUUAGCCCGGGGAUCCGAUCCCGAUGAGAUCGGAAACCCUAGGCGAGCGAGAGCGAGAGAGAGAGAGAGAGAGAGAGAGAGAGAGAGGGGAUGGAUGGGGUUCGUUUGCUUACUGAGGACUUGGUCGGCGGAGAACCUUCUGGAAGGGUCCUUGCACAUCAUGCGGCGCAUCAGGUCCUUGGCGCCCGAGGAGACCCCGGCGAAGAGCCUCGUCGGAAACCUAAGGUUCCCCCGCCGCACCGCCGCGAAGAUCUCCUCCGCCGUGUCCCCCCCGAACGGCGCCGCGGCGCCCCCGGUGAGCAUCACGUACAUCACCACCCCCAGGCUCCACACGUCCACCUUCUCCCCGUACUCCAUCCCCGCCACCACCUCCGGCGCCACGUAGUACGGCGUCCCCACCAGCCCCGCCAUCGCCCCCGCCCCUCCCUCGCCGGGGACGAAGCACGCGGCCGAUCCGAAGUCGGCGAGGCGGGCGCGCCGCCCCGCGCCGUCGAGGAGGAUGUUGUCGGGCUUGACGUCGCGGUGCGCCACCCCUCGGAAGUGGCACGCGGCCAGCGCCGCCGCGAUCUGCGCCACCACCGCCGCCGCCUCCGGCUCCGUCGCCGGCUCCCCACGCCGCUCCCGGAUCCAGUCGAAGAGGUCGGGCCCCUCGCAGAGCUNACCCCUCGGCGGUGGCAAGCGGCCAGCGCCGCCGCGAUCUGCGCCACCACCGCCGCCGCCUCCGGCUCCGUCGCCGGCUCCCCACGCCGCUCCCGGAUCCAGUCGAAGAGGUCGGGCCCCUCGCAGAGCUCCAUCACGACGUGGAUCCACCCCUCGUCCUCGUACACCGCUCGCACCCCCACCACCCCGGGGUUCCCCGCCCCCGCGAGCUGCGCCACCUUCGCCUCCACCCCCGCCCCCUCCCGGUCCACCGCGUCCAUGAGCCCCCCCUUCUCCACCGACUUCACCGCGUACGCCUCCCCCGUCGCCCUCUCCAUGCACCUCCUCACCACCCCGAACCUCCCCCGCCCUAUCUCCUCCCCGAUCUCGUACUCCCUCCUCAACUCCUCACUCAUCUUUUUCUCCUUUUUUUAUAGCCACGGGACUCGAAAAGGGUUCGACCCAGGAAUAUUCCCUUCCGCAUGGACGGCCCAGAUCUCCCCACCCCCGAUCGAACGGUUCCUUCUCCUUUCCCACUCCUAGUCCGAAUCCUCCCUUCAAUUCCCACAUUUACCCUCCCUUCAAGCGCACGAGAAUUCAUUAACCGCGGGGGUACAACCGUCAAAUUGUUUAAUUCGCUCGCAAGCGUGGUAGUGGGUUUUAUUAGUUUGUUAUUAGAGUUAGGAGCGGGGAAAGCAACGAAUCACGGCCGUUAGUUUAGGGGCUAGCCGAUUUGGACGGCUGCGAAACUGCGGGUGCCUAAGGAGAUAACGGCCUUCGGAGAGAGUAACGGACCGUUUCCGGUAACAGCGCGGCGCGUGAGACCCCUCCAUCCACCGUUCAUCAUUGCUUUAAGAGUCGCGCCAGUCACGUGAUUACCGCUCGGGGACCACCCCUACCAAACUGUGGUUCGUGGGGACCGUUUCCGGACGAGGGACGUACACUGUUAGCGUAAAAGGAACGAAUCGCGACGCGCCACUUAGAAAAUCGCACUUUUUCACCACCAGUAAAAAUUGGACACGUGUAUGAGACAGGACAACGUGACAUGUUCCCUCCCCCCCCCUUUUUUUUUAUUUUUGGGGACCCCCUCUCUCCCCUCCUCUUUUCCCUUUAUUCAACGAAGAGGAAGUAACGGCGAAACCCGAACUUUAAAGCACCUGAUAAUAUGUGUCGCAUAUGCCAUUUAGACCGAUACGUUUCGUGUCUUAUUUGCUAAUCUGAUAAGCUAUAAUCAGACCACCCAUGCGUAUCAACUUCGCCCCUACUAUUGUUGAAAAUUGCCGUUUGACCUUAGCGAAUUAUAUAUUAGGUACAUCCAAAUAUACUAUUUUCUAAGUAUAGGAAUCAAUUAAUUAAUUAACUACUCAAUUAGUACGACUUAUUUAUUGACUAAUAGUGACAAUUGGGAGUGCGAAUUUUUUAACUUGAAUUAUUCAUAAUUUUAUAGUCCUAUACCCGCCUGAGGCCAUGCUUCAAAAUUAAGUAUUCUGAAUUACUGUCAUCGUCAUCAGCAUCAUAAUAAAAUAAAUAAUUAUGAUAGCGUAAUUGUUCAGGCGUGACUCUUGUUGCACACAGUUCAAACAUGAGGUUUCGUAUUUCUUUUAAUAUUUUUUUAAUACAUUAUUAGUGGCGAUUCGUUCGGUCGAACAUUGCCACGCCAUCGAAGGAGUCUAUUUUCACCAGCAUCAUCUUUUAAGCUUGAGGAAAAUCUAGUUAGGAACUAGAACUAUGAUUAUUUAAUCGCAGCAUCGAUUAUUAUACAUGUUGAUAAUCGCAUCACGGCAAUCGUAGUUGAAGUUAAGAGAUUCUUCAAACUAUCCAAAUAGCUUCUAGUACAGCUAAGAAGGGAGAGCGCACAAAAUCAAUGGUCAAAUCAGGUAUAAAUUUAUUAAGUGUACUCCAAGAUACUAGCUAUUUGAGGACAUUAGAAUGUUUCAUAAGUCUAACAACUUGGUUUUUUGGGAGUGUUUUUCUCCCUUUCCCCUGUUUUUCAACUUAUAACUUUGACACUAAAUGUGUCUCUUAAUGUGCCAUAUAGGCUUAGGAUGACAUUUGCACAUGCGUUAUCAGUUCGAAUAUACGCAGUUGUUGGCGCUACGGUGCCCAAUUUGGUUGAGUGCAAUUGGACUCUCUCAAUGGCUGCGAGAGUGUCCUCGCAGUCCGCAAUUAAUAUGGCAAUUGAAGAAGACCUAGAGGCAGUAGUAAUUUUGACCUGCAAUGCAUGCAAUAAAGCCGACUUUAUCUAGUGCAGCUGGUUAAGAACUUGAUAAUUAGCAUCAGUUCUUUGUUCAGUUGUUUUUAUAAAAAGAAAUUUAUAUCAAAAAAAAAAAAAGAAAAGUCGGCUUGUUGAUUUUAGAUUAAGGAGUUCCUUGUACAAAUUUUCUAUAUCCAAGGAGCUCCUUGGACAAUUCUUUUUUUUUUUUUUUUAAUCAAUUGGUACCUUUGUUAGUUUAAGGCCCCCCAAAAAUUAUUAGACAUGGGUUAGCCUCUGUUAGCACACAAUGUAUAUUGCAUAAUAUGUUGGAGCACCCAUGAUGUAGCCUGUUGUAGAGGAGUUUUUGAGUUUAUUAAUAUUUGUUUCCCUAUAAAUAGAUUUUUUUUUUUUUUUUUAUUUCUCCCUCUCUCUCUCUCUCUCUCUCUCUGUGUUCAUUUUUAAUCAAUUGGUUUUUAUUGGUGCAUCAUUUCCUUCUUCCCUAAGCUUAGUGAUGACAUGUUUAGUAUAUGUUGAUGUAAAAUUCAAAAUCUCUCAAUUUAUUUUACUAAUUAUCUUUUCUAAUUAUUUAUUUUUUCCGGACGUUACGAUCAUGAAGAUCGUGCGCUGCCGUUCCGCCCGCGAGUCCGUUCCACGCGCGCGAGCGCGCGUCCGUUCCGCGGAUGAUGCGUGAUGCUUCCAACGUCUUUUUAUUUUUUGGAAUGUUGAAGUGACGUUCACAUGGUUGUAUAUAUACAGAGGGUGUACCUUUGUUAAUUAACUUGAAAAAUAGAGAAGAAACAAAAUACUGUUUGAAGCUAAAUCAUUUGAAGAUUUGUUUAUAUUUUGUUGUUCUUUUAUUAUCGGGUGUUGAAAGAGUCUCCGUCAAUCUUCUUCACGAUCGUGCUCGCAGGAGGAGGAAUUCCGGUCGUAUCUUGGGGUGUUGUUCCCGGUUAAUCCCGCACGUAAAGACGGGAAUACGCCUUAGGGCAGUGCCUUGCACGCUUCCGGAUCAAUUAAGUAUUUAUUUGGAUUUAGCGAUCAUCUGUAAGUUGAUUUAUUUAUUUUCAUAAUAAAAAUUUAGUUAAAUUUAAAUCACAAUCAGAUUUCUGUGCGGUAUUUGUUCUAACAGUAUCAAGGACUAUCUAACUUUAUUAGGCAAAACAGAGGAAGGGCGAAAGCGAUUGAAAUAUGCAUUCAUACCUGAAAUUUUAUUAGACUUUACAUCCUAUAGAAAAGGGCCCAUGAAUUAGCUUUUUGGGCAAAUAAGCCUUCAGGCCAAAAAAACCAAUUUGAAACUUCCACUUUUAGUGUGAAGUGGGCUUUACGUCACGGACUUUGUGAAUUCGCUUGCCAAAGUCCGUGCGGCGCCCUCUUUUCUGCUCGAAAAUGAGUAAGCCUACUUCAUUCUUUCUACUCUGAAACUCCGCACCCUCAAGGACUAAGUGCAAGAAAAAGAAUGCGAGAAAGUGUGAUAGAGGUUCCGCAAAAACAAUGUACUCCACUACUUAUAAACAGAAAUUACAUGCUCUCUCUACUCGAUCUUACUCUCUUGGCCUUAGUCAACUCACCUAUUUAUACACUUCAGAUAUAUUAAACUUGGCUCUUAUAAUUAAUUAUUAUAAGAUGAACCGAAGGUUUGGCCCAUGAUCUUUGAAUUUUUGUUGACAGUAAUGGAGCUUCUAAAUCCAGCACAACCUCCUAUAAUGGCUACUGGUUUGGUGCAUUGUUAGUUAAUUCGGAUUCGGCAAAAAUUCGGUACGAAUAUAAUUCAGAUAAAAUUUGUCUUCUAAUUUUUAAAUUCGUUGAAAAAUACGGCAAAAAAACGGAUUCGCUAUUUAUUCGGAUACAUGAUUUAUACGGAUAUUAUAUGUUCACCAAUUAAAAAUUCGGGAUAAAAAAUUCGACUAUUAAAUUACUUUUUUUUUCUCUCAAAAUUUAUGCUAUUAGCAUAACUUCUCAUAUUUCUUAAGAAUAUAAGAAUAAAGAGCUACAAAAUUAAGCUAAUUAAGUAAAAAAAAUAGCAAACUAUAUUAUGCCUUAAAAUAAAUAAAUAAAUAAGCAAAUAAGAGAUUAAGAUAGUCUAUAAGAGAUUAAAUUUUUUUGAUCCAGUAAUUUUUUUUGGGGGGAUUCCGAAAGGUUUUUUUUUUUUUUUUUUCUGUUUUGGUUGUAAAGGGUUUUUUUUUUCUCCUUUUUUCUGUUUUGGGCGGGCCGCGCGGCCCGUGGCCUGCGAGCGCAAGCAAGCCGCGAGGCCCGUGAGCACGGGCAGGAGCGUAAGCGUGGGUGCGAGAGCGGGUGCGAGCGGCGAGCGGCGAGCCGAAUUUUUGGCCGAAUAAUUCGGCCAUCGCGAAUUAUUUGCGAAUGAGUAUUUUUUGACCAAAAAAACGCGUUUUUUUUCCAAAUUUUUCAGAAAAAUACGAGUUCGGCCGUUUAAUUCGGUUCUUCAAAAAUUCGCGAAUAAUUCGCGAAUGAACUAACAUAGGUUUGGUGUCCCGUUGGCUACUCACUUAGCGGAAUUUUGGCUGGGUUGAAAUUUUUCUAAGUUCCGGACGUUUAUCGCCCUUCACUAGGCCAUACAAAAAACCUGGAAACUUGGAGGUGCUAUAGCAGUGUCUUCUUAAAUAAGUUAUCUUGGAACCAAAAAAGAAAAAUAAAAGAAAAAUUAAAAAAAAAAACUUCUUACUGUUUGGUACUUGAUUGGCUAUCCUGUGAGGGAUAAAGUGGUUGCUUAUCUAUCUUCUUAUAUAUAUUGUAACAUUUGCUAGUUUUAUUUUGCACAAAAUUCUUUACCUCGUGCAACAUUUUAGUUUGAUUUAGAUAGUUGCAUUAUAUUAUAUUGUUUUUUGGAUUGAUCGCACACUCUCCGAAUAGUGAUUGUGUAGGUAUACGAGUUUACGUUGUAUAUUAUUUUACUUUUUUAAUGAACUACGUAGAGACCCAACCGUCCCUAGAGCAAGUGGCAAAGGACUUGGUAGUUGGUACCUGAGACCCAAGUUCAAACCCUAGUUGAUUCAAAUUUCCAGCUAAGUUUAUUUCUAAAUGAAAUAAACGAAGCGGGAACUACGUAGAGAAUCACUCAAUGUUCUAAAUGGUCAUAUGAUGCAUUAGCAAUAACCUUUUUUAAAUUUUAAAUUAGCUUAAAAGGAAUGUUUGACGAUGAUUAUAAAUCUAUAAUUUGAUUUUUUUUUUAUGGUGAUUGGUGAAUUGUGAGAGCCAUUAAUCACAAUAUUAUUAUUUUUACAAUCAUUGAUAAAUAUUCAUGAAUUUUCAGCUUAAUGAAUAAUUUUAUUCAUUCACUAACUAACAAGAAAAUUGCAAGAAAAAAAUAAUUCUAAUUCAAUACAUUGGUUAUCCAAAUGGACCAAGAUUUAUGUGGAUUACUUUGAAUCCAAAUGAAUGACAUGUUAUAUUUUUAGCCUUUGCUUCAUUAAAGAUAAAAAAGACAUGAGAUUAGACAUAAAUAUUUAUUUUUUUUUUUUUUUUUUUUAGUUUUACAUGUAUAUUUUACUUUUACUAACCAAAGCACUAGAUUUCCCCUUUUUCUUAAUUCAAAGUUUUCUAGAAUUUUACUAGAUUCUAUUUAUAUUUAUAAAAAAAAUAAAUAUGAGUCCAGAGGCACGGCGCGGCCCACAUCAUAUGCGGGCCAUGUGGGCUAUGUUGGGCUAAUCUGUGGGCCGUGAGGACCGUGCCGCGUUGGCCCUUAAGCCGUCAACGGGCCAUCUUUUAUGGCCCCGGCCGUGCCGGACCGACCUGCGAUCGUCCGACACGUGUAUUUAGGAUGGUUAGGGAGUGAGAUCUAGAGAAGAGAAAUUGAGGUAUUUAGGAUGGUUAGGGAGUGAGAGAGAGAAGAGAAAUUGAAAAGAAAUUGGGUAUCUCAAUUUUUCUUCUUUUUAAAUUUCUCUCUAAUUUCUCUUCUCUCUCAUCCUAACCACCCAUCAAAUUGAUAGAUAAUUAGAAAGUUGGGAGCACAAGACCUACUGUGCUCCUAAUAAAAGCACAGUAGCCCUACUCUCUUUCUCUCUCUCUGUCUCUCUCUGUCUCUCUCUUUAUAUAUAUAACCGAAAAAAUUGCAAUCUUUCGAAUUACCAUUUUGAUCAUUAGAUCAAAAGUCAAUAAUAUUGGUUACUUGUGAGACGUCCCAUUGUGCAUGAUCCAAAAGUCGUUAGGAUUGAUUCAAUAGGCAAAAAUAUUAGGGAAAACUUCAAAAACCUCCCCUGUGGUUUCGUGCAUUCUCACUUUGCUACCCUGUGGUUUAAAACGUAUCAAUUUACCCCCCUGUGGUUUCAUUUUUAUCUUUUCGGAAGCUUUUUCGUUAAUAUUUCGUUAAAUUAUAUACAAAAAACUUCAGAUAACCAUCUAUAUUUAUCGAAUAGUCACUUUAGUAUCCUUUAAUUUUAACUUUGUCACUGAUUUAAAAAAAUAAUAAUAAUAAAAUUGAUAACAAAAAGAUAAAAACGAAACCACAGGGGGGCAAAUUGAUACGUUUUAAACCACAGGGUAGCAAAGUGAGAAUGCACGAAACCANAUAUAUAUUAUAUAAAUUUUUACUAUUUAAAUUUUAGGCAAAUCCAAAGAUAAAAAAAUCUAUGUUAAUGUGUAAAUUUUAUUUCUUAAAUUAAAUUAAAAUUAUUUGUUUUUUUAAUUUUUUAUAUUAUAAUAAUAAUUUACUGUUUGUCAGCUUGUUUAGUAAUAAAUGAAUCAAAAAUAAACUAUCAAUAUAUAAUGUAUAAAUGAGCCAGUUCAUGUUCGGCUUGUACGUUUGCUCGUGUGGGGCUCACGAACCUCAUUGUAACAAGUGGAAUCUAGGACACGAGAAAAGCACACACAAAUAAUUAUGGCUUAACUUUUUUCUUUUUGCUGCCCCUUUUUUUUUUUUUUUUUUUUUUUUUUUUUUUUUUUUUUUAAACCUUUGUGAUCCGUAUGGGUGCAAAUGUACACUUUUAUUCCACGCAACAAUGACAAAGUGUUUUUUGUCGACAUCCCAUUAAUGACUCCUUUGUGGGAUCUUUCUCUCUGUGGAACACGUUCUACUUUAAAACCCCCAUGAAUUUUUUGCUUCACAACCUUUGUGCUUGACUCGCCAUUUAUUCUGUUCACUCUCUAGAAGGUCUUUGCAAUAAUUUUUACUUGUUUCAUUUGUACACGCGUGGACUCGUAGACUCGCUUCGUAUUUUAGAUUAAGCUGAAUUGAAUAAGCAUAAAGAUAAUAUCACAUAAUAAUAUUCAACUCAGAUAUGUCUGAAAAAAUUUAAUGCGGUUCUCUGCAUCCGUCAUAUCGUUUUUACAAAAUUAUUAUACGCAUUUGAAAUCUCAAAGUUAUUUGACAUUUUUUAAUCUCCGAUGUUGAUUUCUCGCACGUUCUGUUUACUCAAAAUGAUGUAGGUGUCGAAUUGACGUUAUAUGUGCAGUCGCUUUAAAUUAUGAUGUUAAGUUCAACUUUAUGUACCAUUUUCGAGUAAUACUAAAAAUUCAAAAACACGGGCUUAGCAUUUUUGAAUUAAUAGUCAAUUGUGUUGAUUCUAAUAAACAUAAUAAAAUUAAAGAAUCUUUAAAUAGUAUACUUCAAAGUUUAAAGACCUAGUUCUACACCAAAGUCAUCGAAGAAUAAUCGUUAGCAUCAGCAUAAAAAUUACUUUUAAGAGAAUAAGAACUAGAAUAAAAUAAUUUUCAUUAAAAUUCGGGGAAGCUAACAAAAUUGCAAUUUACCUUUGUACCAAUAAGUAACCAAAGUAUCCAAGCAAAUUAAUUCCUUUAUACUAAGAAAACAAAUGACUCAUGAAUUCUAUUUUUUUAUUAAACAAUACAAAGCAAUCAUUGCUUUCUAUAAUCUUAAGUUUUUAAUAUUUAUAUUCAACACUUCCUUCGUAUCUGAACUUAGAUCUGUCUGAAAUAUUUAUUUCCAAUAAUUUUUCUUACGUGUGGACUUGGGAUUUUUUGAUAGGCUCAAAACAUGGUUUGAAUUAAAUGAGAGAAAAGUAAAUAAGGUUAGGAGCCUCGUGGGACUCGAACUAAGAAUUUUCUUUUCUGAUACUGCGUUACAUUAUAUGAAAUAACUGUUGUCUUCCAUAUAAUUAAGUUACCAAAGAACAAUAUUUUUAAUAUUUAUAUUCAAUAAUUUUAAUCACAAAGUAUUUAAGAGUACAAGUUUUAUUAUCCUAGGACAUAUUUAAUCAACCAAAUGAAGAUCUCAAUUAAUAAUAAUAAUUGGUAAGUAAAUAAAACAACAGUGUAAAACAUUCUUACGGUCAAUUUUUGUUAGCCAUGCUCGAUCAAAUAUUCUUUUCACUGUAAAAUAUAUCAAUUAAGAAAAGUAUAAUAUAAAUUAAAUGCAAAAUUAAUAAAUAUAAAUAUAUUCAUUCAUGAGAUAAAUAAUUAAACUAAUGUUCCUUGCACAUGAAUCUAGUUUACUUGACUCAAUUAAAUUGAUUUGCCGUAACGUGCAAGCGCAACCGCAUCCUCUUUUAGAAGUAGAAAUAACCUUUCUCCAUCUUAGAAAAAGGAUACUUAACUAGCUAGCUAUAGUGAUGAAUAAAAGUUUUAGUAGAAAAAGCAACAAUUAAUGGAUUCUUUCUCUUUAAAUCAUUUUAUGCCCACCAUCUUGACUUAGAUGGCACCAUCAAUGCUUUUCAAUUAAUCUAGUUUUAAGUUCAAUUAAAAGAUGCGAAAUUUAAGUUAAUCCAAAGUUUUAAACUAUCAGAGAAUGAUAAUUUUUAUAUUAUAUAUUCUAUCUUUACAUUUGGACUCGAGAUAUUUUGAUAGGUCGAGCGGAAGGAGCCUCACGAGAUUCGAAUUCAGUAUCUCGUACUCUGAUAUUAUAUUAAAUAAUAUAAAACAACUAUUUAUUAUUUUUUUCAAGCCUUAUUUUGACUUGUGUGUUGAAAUUGAGUCAUCUAUAUUUUACCCUUCAAUCAAUUUGAUAUUAUAUAAAAAACGACUUAGAAAUAAUCUUAUUACCUUUACCUCAUUAAUGUACAUAUAGAGUUGAGCUGGAAUGCUAUUGGUAGUAAAUGGGGGGCUUCGUUACCAUCCAUUUAUUUACAAUGAUCGGCGCCGUUGAAUAUAAUUUAUACUAUUUGAAAUAUCUAGAAAUAAAAUUUUAAAUUUUUUAGACAUCAUUGGCCUAAUGAUCAAAGAGUUUCAAAAUUUAUAAUUUUAACGGUCGAUAUGAAACGUUUUUCGUUUAACAGCGUAAAGAUAUUCAAAUCAAUUGCGUUUUAGUUAGAAAAUUCUUUAAACUAUUUAGAACAAGAUCUAUACUCUUGAUCUUAAUUACAAUACUCUUAUCGUUACUCUUUAAAAGAUAUUCAUUUUCGGCCGUUCAUUUUUGUGUCCACUUGAUACAUAAGAGAACGAUAUCGAAAAAGUACGAAAUUUGAUUUCUAAAUGUUUCAAGUGGUGUAGAUUAUGUUCAAUAGCGCUGAUCAUCGAUUUGGAGACUCGAUCACCGAAAACAAAUAAAUGGCAAUAGAGCCUGUUUGCUAUCGGUAACAUUCCAGCUCAACUUUCUCUCUCUCUCUCUCUCUCUCUCUCUACAUAUAUANAGCCCUUGGAUGGAGAGAUGUGAGGUUGAGAUGAUGGGGAUAGGUGGUGGUAGGUGGUGGUAGGUGGAAUAGUGUUUGAUUCAAGGGCUAUUUGUAAUCAAAAAGUAGAUCCAAUGGCUAAAAACGUGAUAGCAACAUGAAGAUGAUACUUGUAAAAGUAUCCUAGAUCAAUUAUAUAUAUAUAUAUAUAUAUAUAUAUAGAAUAUUAGAUUGUAUAAACUAUACAACACAUGAAAAGAAAGGCGAAAAAUAUAAAAUUUGUAAGAAGAAGAUGAAAAUUAAUUAAAAGAGUACAACCGCGAAGAACCCACUUGGAUACCAUAUUUUUUCACACCCAUGAUAAGUAAGGCGGAAAAAGGUAAAAAUUUAUGAGAUGUUGAAAAUUAAGAGUACAUCCGUGUAGAACCGAUUUUAAUAUCAUAUUUUUCCUCAACCGAUGUAUGUAGCAUGUCCAACGAAUUAAUAGUCUUUAAAAAUGUCAAUGGUCUAAUUUGCUCUUCACAUUUGGCUGAGUCGAUUCCUUUAGACUUAGACUACAGUUAUGAUCGAUCAGCAUCAAUCAAUUCAACUGGUCAUAGGUGAGAGUGAUGUGUACAUAUAUGUUUCAUUAAAACCCUUACAUCAGCAUCACAAAAUGAGUGGAUUCUAAUGGGGGAGUUGAAAAUUUGAAUUCUAUUUGUAUGCAAAAAUAUCUUAUUAUAGAAUUAAUUUCAUUGAUGUCACUACAAAGUUUAAAUUUUAAAAUUUUUAUGAAUACCCUUACAAAUAUACUGAUCUUUCAUUACACAUAUUUUUAUGUAUUUUAAAAUAUAAGUUUGUAUUUUUUUUUUUUUUAUUUCUGUUUCAUGGACACUUUUUUAGCUUAUAUUUUUUAGGAAAAACUUCAAAAACCCCCCUAUGGUUUCGCACUCUUUCACUUUAGUACCAUAUGAUUUAAAGUGUAUUAAUUUGUCUUCCUGUGGUUUUGUUUUUAUCUUUUUGGCAGCUUUUUUUUAAUAUUUCGUUAAAUUAUAUACAAAAAACUUCAGAUACCCAUCUAGAUUUAUCGAAUAUUUUAUUUAGUACCUUUUAAUUUUAACUUUGUCACUGAUUUAAGAAAAAAAAUUGAUAAUAAAAAGAGAAAAACGAAACCACAGGGGACAAAUUGAUGCACUUUAAAUCAUAGGGUACUAAAGUGAGAAAGUACGAAACAACAGGGGUUUUUUUGAAGUUAUCCCUAUUUUUUAUUUUUACGAUGAAGUGUAUGGAUAGUUUAUGGAUUAAUUAUCUCCAUAUUGCGAUGUUAUUUCUGUACUUUUGGUGUUAACAUUUUAGCCCUUGGAAGUAUAUAUAUAUAUAUAUAUAUAUAUAUAUAUAUAUAUAUAAAAACUCUAAAUUUUCUGACAAAAGAAUCAUUCUAUUUUAUACAAUUCUCUCUUUUCAGUCUACUUUAAACACGAUGAAAUAUUAUUUUAUCAUAAUAAAAUAUGAAUGACAGUUAGGGACCAUCUCACAUUUUGCUCUCAUUUUUUCACCUUAGUUAUUCUCCUUAGUUAUUCUUGUUAGUUAAGUUAAAAAUUUUAUUAAACUUAAAUUGCUCUAUUAACUAUUACCCUAAUCCCAUAUUUGUUCAUGUGAUAGCUCCAUCCCUUGGGAUAAGGAAUAGAUUGGAAAUAUCUACUUUUUUUUAUAGAUUGUGAGCAAGAAUGAAUCACAAAAAAAAAAAAAUUAUCCAAAUUUUUCGCUGCGGAGCGCGGGCCUUCACAAAAAAAAAAAAACUAUCGUCUACAAUCCGAUUUUGAAAAUAAAAAAUCACGGCAGAAAAUACGAUUAUAAUAUUAAUAUGGUUUAACACUACGUACAAAUAUUUUUAGUUGCAAUCUUACAAUAUCACCAUCCAAAAGCCAUAAAUUGCACAAUUUUAGUCGUAAUCUUACAAUAUCAUCAUCCAAAGACCAGAAACGUCGCACUAGUUUUAAUUAUUACUGUUCUAAUUCUUUUAAUACUAUCAAUUCAAAAGAGGUUGAUCAUUUAAACACUUGAAUGGUUGUCCAAGAUUGUUAGAAUUCUAAUCCUUAUUGAGUUGUAGAUUUAAUAUUUUUCUUUAUUAUAUAUAUAAAUAAAUGGGUCAAGCAUUUUAAGUUCAAAAAAUCAACUAAGAAGAACAGCAGGCAACUGGCCAAACAAGUUGAUGGGUCAAGCAGCUGUCAGCUUGGACUAAUUUUAAGCUCGAUUAGCUCACACAAGUAGAGCCGGUCAAGUCAGGUUAAUUAAUUUGGCACGAAAAGGACUAAUUAUAGCCCAAAAAUUAAUUAGAUGCGACAUUAAUUAGCCUUGUGUUUCACUAGAAUUGGCCACUUAAACGUGCUCCAUGUUUCUUUCACCAAAAGGUCCAUGCAUGGAAAUUUGUGAGACCCCAAAUAGUCCUAUAUAUGAGAUAUAAUAGGGCUAAACUCUUAACCCGGCUUAAGCAUUUUGGGUGGUUGCAAGGCCCAAGAGGUUAAGAGAGUUAAGCGUACUAGGACGGGAGUAGUCCUAGGAUGGGUGACCCUCUGGAAAGUUGGGGCGUCACAGAUGGUAUCAGAGCCAAUUACCAGCCGGAAGUGUGAGAUGAGUCUCGGCUGAGCAAGGAUCUGGAUGACGGGCUAGCGAGACAAGUCUCACAUCGCCUGAUACUUGUGAGUCUGAGCCUGACGAGGACGUUAGGGCGUAAAGGGGUGGAGAUUGUGAGACCCCGAGUAGUCCUAUAUAUAAGAUAUAAUAGGGCUAAACUUUUAACCCGACUUAAGCAUAUUGGAUGGUGACAAGACCCAAGAGGUUAAGAGAGUUAAGCGUCCUAGGACAGGAGUAGUCCUAGGAUGGGUGACCUCCUAGGAAGUUAGGGCAUCACAAAAUUAGUUUUUAUUAACAGGAAUUUACAAAUUACAACUGGUGUACUUUUAAGUUCAAUGGUUUAAAUCUUACUAAUGCCUUUUCAAAAACUAAAAAAAAAAAAGAAAGAAGAAAAAAAAGUCUUGAGUUCAUAAAGUUCAAGUUUUUGGGGUGGGAUCGAGUGUUAGCAUUAUUAUUUGUCAUAAAAGAAAAGCGAAUUUAAUACGUCUCUUGAAUUUUCUAAAGUACGGAGACUUUCGUAUUUAUAAGUUGUUUUGAUAUGAUAGAAUAUAUUUAAUUUGAUAAUGGGCUCUAUUAGAUAUUAUCUAUACUAUUAUAACUAUUUAAAAAAUAAAUUUCAUAUUUUUUCGAUAUUAUUUAUCAAGUGAUGAAAUUAAUGGUCUAAAAAAUGACCGUUUUAAUGGCCGAUAAGACAUGUUUGUUAAGUUCUAUAGUGUAGAACAAUCUAAAUUAGUCAAAAAUUUAAUAAAAAGGUUUACCUACCAUUAACAGCAUGAUUAAUAUUUUAAUUUAAAAUUUAAGUCUUUAUCAUUAUAUUUUAUAAAUUUUUUGUUUUCAGCCGUUCAUUUUGAAGCUAUUAAUUAAUUCACUAGGCAAACAAAGCCUAAAAAUUAUAAAAUUUAAUUUUUAGAUGAUUUUAAUAUUGUAUUAGCAAUAUUAGAAUAUACUAGAUUAAGUUUAAUUAUAUAAUAAAUAAAGUUAAUUAAUUCAAUAUUAAUUUAAGUAGUAUUGAUUAAUGCUGUAAAAGUGAAAUAUAUUCCAACAAUUAAUUGUAUACGCCUAGUGAUGGACACGCAUCAUAUAUAGGACCAAUUAACUAUAAAACUAUGUUAAAACCAUAAUUAUAUGGUUAAUGAUUUUGGAAUACUCUAUACAAAAAAUGAAAAAAUUAUAGCCCACACCCGGUUUAUCUAUUUGCUUUAAUUAUGCACCACAUCUAAUUUUUAAUUAAAAUUAUGUCUUAAAUUCAAAUUCGAGUUUGGUAAAUGCAAUCCAUGCAGUAUAAAGAGAAUGUGGCGUCCAAUAUUUAUAAUUUCUUAUAUGUAAGCUUUUUGAAUAUCAUAAAACGCAUCUAGUGUUAGAUUUUAAUUUUGUAUCCUCUAACUUCGUUACAACAAAAACGGUCUAUAGCGAUAUUUUUAAAUGUCGGUACAGGUCAAAAAAAGUGCUACUGGGUAAAUUACCGACACUUUUAAAAAGUGUUGCAAUAUGUGGGGUCGCUAGGUAUAUAGUGACAGUUAAAGAGUGUCACUAUAAUCUACAAAGAGUGCUACUAAUUUACCAACACUUAGUUAAGCAUUUAGCAAGCAUCGAAACUCUACCUCGUUGGUUGUGGUGGCGGAGGAGGAUGAGAGGAAGGGAUCUUCGUCUAGGAUUUCAGUCGAUUGAGUGAGGGGAGAAGGAAAAAAUGAUAAUCGAUUUUUCUUUUCUUUUUUUUUUUCUGUUUAUAAUCGAGCCGAAUGGACUGGGUGGGAUGGGUUGAGUAGAGUAACAUUUUAUUUUUGGUUGGAUUGGAGUUUAUAUUUAGGCAUUAGUAGAUUUUUUUUAAAAUUUUGGCAUAAAUGGGACACUUGUAUAUACAAAAGUGUUCCAAACAUGUGUCCCUAUAAUCUUAUUCUGUUAUAGUGCAUAGCAUUUUAAAGAGUGUGUUAAAUGAAAUAUAUGCAUGUAAUAAUUUGAUUCACCUUAAUUAUCUAACAAAUUAAAUAUGUGGUUUUUAUUUUCAAUAAUAUAAAAAAAAAUUAUAUUUAACACCCACUGUGCUCAUUUCAUGUUAAAUAACAUGAAACAACUAUUAUACUUUAAAAACUUAAGCCAGUAAAAAACAGUAUUUUAAAUAUUUUUUAUAUUUAACAGUUUCUAUAUCUUUUGGUCUCAUUUUCAAGUUCGCUGAUUUAUCCGAACAAAUGUUGAACCAACUUUCGCACAUUAUGACCGACCGUUUCUAACGCAAGUGGCAAAAGAUUUGGUGGUUGCUACUCGAGAUUUCAAGUUUAAAUCUUAGUUGAUUCACAUUUCCAGCUAAAUUUAUUUUAAAAAAAUAAACGAAGCGGAUAGUAUGUUAUCUUUCUCUCUAAAAAAAAAAAAAAAAUUUCGUGCAUUAUACGAGUUCCAGGUGCGACAUACUCAGCUCGUCCAAACUGCCCCUCGAUUUACAACAUUAAUUGUGCAAGUUAGAAAAAGUACUUUCCUCUUUUUUUUUUUUUGUUUGGAGAUCAACUCUUGUCUCACUUUUCUAGUUUAGAAGUUUAUUAAUCUAAUGAAUAAAACAGAUAACUCGCCUUAUUUCUAAAGAAAAAGUAUGUUUCUUUCUUCUAAAUGAAAAAGCUCUAUAGCUUCUUUAGUGUGAAAAGCCGAUUCUGGGAUUCAAAGAAUUGGAGUUAUUAUUAUGCAUGAAAGAAAAACGUUAUAUGGUGCUAUAUAUAUAUUUAGGGGUUAAUUACACCAAUAGUCCCUAACUUUUACACUAUUUUUCAAUUUGGUUCCCAAUCUUUUUUUUUUGCAAUCAAGUUCCUAAUCUUUUUAUUUCAUUUCAAUUAAAUUCCAGCUGUUAGAUAGCUGUUAAAAUUGACGAAAAAUACCACAUCAGCGCCACGGAGGCGCCAUGUCAGCGCCACGGUGGCACUGUGCCAGCGGAUUGCAAACAAAAAAAAGGUUGGGGACCAAAUUGAAAAAUAGUGCAAAGGUUGAGAACCAAUGGUAUAAUUAAUCCAUUAAAUUUAUAAAUUCAAAAAAAAAAUUUAAAUUUUGAUUUUGAAUUCAAAUUUAAAUUGGAAUUCAAAUUCCGAUUUUGUAUUUAAUUUUAAAUUUUUAAUUUUAAAUUCAAAUUCACAUUUGGAAUUCUAAAUUCUAAUUUAAUUUCAAACUUCGAUUUGAAAUUUCAAAUUCAAAAUGUGAAUUUGAAUUCGAAGUUUAAAUUCAAAUAGAAUUGAAAUCAAAUCUUAAAUUCAAAUUUAAAUUUUAAAUUCAAAUUUAAAAUUUAAAAUCAAAAUUUUGAAUAUGAUUUUAAAUUUAAAUUCAUAUUUUAAAUUUAAAUUUCAGUUUCAAAACUUUUAUUUUAAAUGUAAACUGAAAUAUCAAAAUCAAAAUCAAAAUUUUAAGUUUGAAUUCAAAAUUUAGAUUCAAUUAAAAAUUUAAAUUUAAAAUUUUAAUUUUAAUUCAAAAUUUUAAUUCAGUUUUAAAUUCAAAUUCAAAAUUCUAAUUUCUCGUUAGUUUAAAAUAUUAAUUUUAAUAUUAUUUUUGAAUUUAAAUUUAAAAUUUUGAAUUUUUUUGGGGAACUAAAAUGAAAAAUGUGCGAAGUUUAAGGACCUAAUUGACAUGCAAAAGGCUGCAACAUAGGCGCUGAAGUGGCGAUUCCGUUAAUAUUAACAGUUUUUUAAACGAUUGGAACCUAAUUGUAAUAAAAUCAAAAGAUUAGGGACUCAAUUGCAAAAAAAAAAAAAGGUUGGAGACUCAAGUAAAAAUUGGUGGAAAGAUUGGGGACUACCGGUGUAAUUAACCCUAUAUUUAGUUAGAAAAGGCCUAAUCCCAAUUUGUAGAUACGAAAUUCCUAAUAAGAGAUCUCAGGUGACGACCAAACUAAAAUUCCAAUUUAUGCUAAGUUUGUGCUCGAGGCCUUGCUGCCUCACUUCUUAUAGCUGAUUUCAUUUACCUUGGUGAAUGUAGCAGGUACUAAGCACGCUAUCUUUCUUUUAGAGAAAAAAAAAAGGAGCUCUUCAGUAAGGAUUGUGAAUAUAAUUUUUUUUUUUUUUUUGAGAGAUAGGUUGCACGCUAGCCGCUUCGUUUAUUUCAUUUAGAAAUAAACUUAGCUGGAAAUGCGAAUCAACUAGGAUUCGAACUUGGAUCUCGAGUACCAACCACCAAACCCUUUGCCACUUGCUCUAGGGACGGUCGGCGGAUUGUGAAUAUAAUUAAAUGAACCAUCAGAUAGGUCACACUUAAGUAUAUACGAUCCAAUUACGGAUCAUACUUGUGCUCUCUUCUUAUGAAAGAUCUUUAAUUUCCAGUAAAUUAAGUUUUGUUCUUGUACGUAGUCCCAAACCACGUAUACAAAGGCCACUCUAUGUAAAAUAAUGGAACUCCUUCUAUUUCUGAAUAAUUUAUAAUAAAAUAAUUAAAAAAAACUUCAAAUGAUCACACUACAACAAAAACGGUCUAUAGCGACACUUUUAAAUGUAGGUACAUGUCAAAAAAGUGCUGCUAGCUAAAAUUACCGACACUUUUAAAAAAUGUUGCUAUAUGUGGGGUCGCUAGGUAUAUAGUGACAGUUAAAGAGUGUCACUAUAACCUAAAAAAGUGUUGCUAAUUUACCAACACUUAUUUAAGCAUUUAACGACCGCCGAAACUUUAUCUCGUUAGCUGCGGUGGCAAAGGAGGACGACAGGAAAGGCUCUUCGUCCAGAAUUUUAGUGAAUUCAGUGAAGAGAGAAGAAAAGAUGGUAAUUGAUUUUUCUUUUUUUUUUUUCUUUUCAGUUUGUAAUCGGCCAAAUGGACUGGGUGUGGUGGGUUGAGUAGAGUAAUCUUUUAUUUUUUAUUGGAUUGGGCUUUAUAUUUAGGCAUUAGUAGAUGUUUUUUUAAAUUUUAGCAUAAAUGGGACACUUUCUCAAAAGUGUCCUAAACAUGUGUCCCUAUAACCUAAUUCUUUUGUAGCGUGACAAAUGAGAAGUUGAAUUGUCAAGCUAGAGAUGACACACAACUCUUGAAGAUUAAAUACAAAUAUAAAAAUACUUAGGCUCUAAAGAAACAUAAAAUAAAAAAAAAGCAGCUGUAGCAGUAGGGCAUAUAUAUAUAAAAAUAUAUCUAACUUUUAGAAAGGAGCUUUGUUUGUUUGAAAACAUGCUCUCAUAUUAACAACCGAUUUGACCAAUGUAGGAUUGAGGAAUUUGGAUUCUUGCUACUUGUGCUUACAAAUUUGUUAUUAUUUUAAUUUAUUUAAAGUUUCCCUACACCUUUUCAUACACCUCUUACGAGCUAUUUGCCUUUUUUAUAGCUACAAAUGCGAAUGCACUUCAUGGAAAUAUAUAUGGUCGAAUAUAUACUAAUUAUAUUGUGUUACAUGCUGUGUUUUAUUUGGCUAUAUGUAUACUUAAGAGUGUUUAAACUAUAAAAUUUUGUAUCUUAAUUUUGCAUGCAGUUUGAAGCUACAUGACCGACUUUUCUAGUCUUAAUUUUGUAUGCAUGUCAAGCUGAACACAGUAAAGGCAGGUGCAUGCAUGCAUGUUCCGGUUUCCAAGAGUGCCAUGUAUUUUCGACUUUUUUAGUCUUAGCACGUUUAAUUCUCUUAAAUGUUGAGUCUAAUCACCGCUUAAAACGCUAUAUCUGAAUUAAAAGAUCUAGUCAUAUUAUAUCAUAUAUAUAGAAUUAUUUUAAAUUCGUAUCUGCUAGUUGGAUCAAUAAAGAAAAAAAAAAAAACUAACUAUUACAUCUUGAACGACCUAAACCUAUCUACUCGCUAGUUAUAAAAUGGAGCGAUAUCUAGCUGUACUUAUGUACAUUCCAAUUGCAUGCAACUAAAUAAAAUUUUCGUAGCUAUAAUACUCUCUUUAGAUUUUCAAAUACUGGACUGAAAAGCUUAUAUAUAUCUUAAUCAAAAUUACAACAACCUACAAAAUAUUUUAUUAUUUAUAAAAGUUUUUAAUUGCACUUUCUCAUUACGUACGUGUAGUGCAUUCUACUAUGUAGUAAUUCUAAUCAAAGCCUCUUUUGAACACCAAGAUCUCAGUGUGACGUACGUAAUGAUAUAUAUAUCUUGCAAAAAGAUAUUUUCAACUAUGUUUUUAUUUGUGACUCCUUGUGUUGCACAUGAAAAUUAAGAAUGGUUAAUUUAUAAUUAAUUAAUACUGCUCAAAAGGUGACGGUGUGAACACAAUCUCGUCAUCCAAUUUUGAAGCUCCACAUUGCUUCUUGUGCCCCAUCCUUUUUUUUUUUCUUUUUUUUUUUACUUUUUAAUUUGCUCUCAUGUAACAAACUACAUCUUCUUAAUUAAUUAAUUAAUUUAUUUAUUUCUCCUUCAUGAACUACCUCCACGUGUUUCACCACCUGGAUAGAGAUAAAAAAAAUAAUAAAUGAACAAAAUGUCGAGUUGUGGUCCAACCCCACGUUACGUUGACUAUUUGUCUCUGCCCCGUGCAGCGCAUUAAUUAUUUCAUAAAUAAAUAAAUAAAGAGAAAAUUUUAAAUACUAGCUCUAUGAUUUUAUAUUUUUUUAUUUACUAUUUUACAAUUUAAAAUAUAUCACUUUAAUAUUUUAUAAUUUCUCCUUUUUUUUCUAUUCUUUAUAUUAAUUUUUUUGUUAAUCAAUGAUAAAGUUAAAACUACAUAAUACUAAAAUAAAAAUUUGAUAAAUCAUAGAAUACUAAAGUAAAUAUUCGAUAAAUCAUAGAUAUGGUAUCUGAAGUUUUUUGUAUAUGAUUUAACGAAGAGGUAACGGAGGUACUGACGAAAAGAAAAAAAUUAAACUAUAAAAUACUAAAAUCAUACAUUUUAAAUUAUUGAAUACUAAAGUGAUGCGAAACCACAUGCGUGGUAUUAUAGGACCAUGCCGUUCACAUUUUCCAAUAUUAUUUUUUCAUCUUUGGUGCAUCAUAUAGAAUAUAAAAAUUUAUAUUCUUAAAAUUUUUUUUNUUUUGUAUAUGAUUUAACGAAGAGGUAACGGAGGUACUGACGAAAAGAAAAAAAUAAAACUAUAAAAUACUAAAAUGAUACAUUUUAAAUUAUUGAAUACUGAAGUGAAUAGGUGUGAAACCACAUGGAUGAUUUUGAAAUUACCCAUAAAUAAACCAUAGCUUACAUAGAAGGGUCGGUUUGUGAGAAAAAAUGCAAUAUAAAUGAUAAAAUUUAUAAUAAUGAGCAGGAGAAUAAUUUUAUGUAAAACGAAUGUUUUAAAAAAAUUUUAUUUUUGUAUUUGCAUGCAAUAUGAAGGUUUUGCUUGAAUAUUAUUUCUAUAUAAAUAAAAUAAAGAGUUUUUUACCAUGUGGGAAAGUAACCUUAUCUUAUAGGACCAUGCCGUUCACAUUUUCCAAUAUUAUUUUUUCAUCUUUGGUGCAUCAUAUAGAAUAUAAAAAUUUAUAUUCUUAAAAUUUUUUUUUGACUUUCUUAUUUAUUUUUUUAAAAGACUAAUAUUAAAAAUAUCUUUUUAACAUUACAAGUUAUUUCAAAUAUAACUCUUGAAUUAAAUUCUAUUCAUAAACUGUUAGAAAUAGUUAUUAUUCCUGUGAAAUUACUGUUUUACUCUUUCAAGUAUAUUUUACGGUCACCAAUUUUUCAUAUUUGUUUUUAAGUUAGUGAUAAAAUAAAUAUUUUGACUUUUUAUCUUUUCAAGUAAAUCUUUCUACUGUUACUAAUUUUUCUUAUUUUCUUUCAAGUUAGCAAUAAUAAAAAGUUUUUUGACUUCUUUUGAACUCUGGUAGAAAUUUAACACGAAUUUAAUCCGAGACGACUUAAUGGGUGUUUGUGAUGCCCCACUUCCCCUGAGGUCACCAUGAGAAAAAAAAAAAAAAAAAAUGAAAAUAAACAAGUCCUUAAAUACUUUGUUAAAGUUAGUAUCUUUAUUAAUUAGCCCUUAGUCACUAACUACUAAAGAAAGAUACAACUUAAUCAAAUAAAAAAGCAUAUAAGUUCGAAUUCUAGUUAAUUCACAUUUUCAGCUAAGUUUAUUUCCAAAUGAAAUAAACGAAAUGGGUAACAUACUACCUAUCUCUCAAAAAAAGAAAAGAAAAAAGCACAUAAGAUGGAUGAAUUUAAUUAAACUGCUGUUAUCAUUUAGCACAAAUUUUUAAUUUAUCUAACGAAAUUUACUUUAAAUAAAGAACACAAACCAUUCUCGGGGGAUGUAAGUGUUGUGUUUCACAAUUGAAGUUGCACCAAUAUUUUAAAUUUGUUUCACGACAUUUGGGCUCCAACAUUUCGUACACAUUACAUCAUUUUUUUAUGCCAAAUUUUGUACUAACAUGUCUUAGAGAAAGAACACAGUGCUUCUCCCCUUUUCAAACCCGUGCGCGUGUGAAAGGUCCGAAUCAUUUAAAAAAAAAAACAUAUUUUAUUUUUGUUUUGAUUUUUAUUUCUAAGAAAUUAAAGCAUUUCGAAAAAAAGAAAAAUAAAAUAAUGUAGUUAAUAAGUUAUAUUUGGAUACCAACUAUAUAUUUAGAAUCGUUGUAGAUUCUAUUUAAAAAUCUAGCUCUAAUUUAAUGCAUUUUUUACCAAGCUUUCAUUUAUAAUUUCAGCAAUUAUUACUUUCAGUAGAGAAUUUGACAAAUAGAAAAAUUUGUAAAUUUUGUUAAGGGAUUCAAAUUAAGUAGAAGCUCUCUGAUUUAGUGCUUUUAUUUUUGCUACAGAGAAAAAUCACAUUGCGUUUUUAUAUAGUACUUUUCUUAAUAUAUAGUACUACUGGGAUAAUAUUUUAUUAAAUACUAUUAUACCUUAUUGCGGUGGAAAAUAGCCUCUUAUCCAUCUAAUUAUAUGGCUACAGAAAAUUUACUAAAACAGAAAUAAUUCAAUUCAAAGUUUACAAGUUGGGCUAGAAGACUAUUAAUAGCAUCUGCCUCUUUUUGUUAUCAAGUUUUUAGGUUUUGGAUAAAAUUUUUUGAUCAAUUUUAGCCAUUAGAUUAAAUAUUAUAAUCUAGUGAGAACCACUCAACCGUAAGUGACUAAUAUCAUUCUAACCCUACAAUUUCCCAUCCAAAAGAUUAAAAAUUUGAUAGCAAAAAAGGCAAAAUACUAUUAAUAGUAUUACAUCCCAACUCAUAUCAGCAGGUCUUGUGUGCUAUUAAGAGCACGGAGUCCUUCGUACUCCUAAGCCGUUUUCGAUGAUGGAGCUUCCGAAUCGAUCAACGAUCGGCUCCGUUAAACUUGAUCUAGUGUAUUUGAACUAUCUUGAAAAUAAUUUUUGUGAUUUUUCGGUAUCAUUUACCUAACGAUCGAAAGAGUUCAAAAUCAACAAUUUUUAAUGGUUGUAUACCGUUUGCAAGUUUAACGGUGUAGAGUAUUCAAAUUAGAUGAAAUUUUGAUAGAAAAUUCUUUAUACUAUUUACAACAAAAUCAAUAUGUUUGAUCGAAAAUUUUAAUACUAUAUCACAACUUUUUAUGAGAUUUUUAUUUUCAGCCGUUGAUUUUGAACCCUUUCAAUCGUUAGGUAAAUGAUAUCGAAAAAUCAUAAAAAUUAUUUUCUAGAUACUUCAAAUAUGUUAGAUCAAGUCUAGCGGAGCCGAUCGUCGAUUUGGAAGCUCCAUCAUCGAAAACGGCUUAGGAGCACGGAGGCCUCUAUGCUCCUAAUAGCACACAAGACCUACUCUAUAUGUAUAUAAGUAGAGUUGAGUUGGAAUACUAUCAGUAGCAAAUGGGCUCCGAUGCCACCCAAUUGUUUUCGACAACGGAGCCUCCAAAGUGACGAUCGACACCAUUGAACAUGAUCUAUAUCAUUUGAAGUAUCUAGACACCAAAUUUCAAAUCUUUUCGACAUCAUUAGCGUAAUGAUCAAAGGGUUUCAAAAUAUGUAAUUUUAAUAGUCAAUAUGAGGCGUUUUUUCGUUUAACGGUGUAAAGAUAUCCAAAUUGAUUGAAUUUUUAUUAGAAAAUUAUUUAAACUAUUUAGAACAUGAUCUAUACUCUCGAUCUUGAUUACCAUAUUCCUACUUCAACUUUUUAAAGAAUAUUUAUUUUCAGCCCUUCAUUUUGUAUCCACUUGAUUGACAAGAAAACAAUAUCGAAAAAAUAUAAAAUUUGAUUUCUAAAUGCUUUAAAAGGUAUAGAUCAUGUUCAAUAGUGCUGAUAUCGAAAACAAAUGGAUGGCAUCGGAGCCCGUUUGCUACCGAUAGUAUUCUAGCUCAACUCUGUAGAGUGGAGCUAGAAUACUAUCGGUAGCAAACGGGCUACGAUGCCACCCAUUUGUUUUCGACAACGGAGCCUCCAAAGUGACGAUCGACACCGUUGAACAUGAUUUAUAUCAUUUGAAGUAUCUAGACACCAAAUUUCUAGAGUUGAGCUGGAAAACUAUCAGUAGCAAACGGGCUCUGAUACCACCCAUUUGUUUUUUACAACGGAGCCUCCAAAGUGACGAUCGACACCGUUGAACAUGAUCUAUAUCAUUUGAAGUAUCUAGACACCAAAUUUUAAAUCUUUUCGACAUCAUUAACCUAAUGAUCAAAGGGUUUCAAAAUAUGUAAUUUUAGAGGUCGAUAUGAGGCGUUUUCUCGUUUAACGGUGUAAAGAUAUCCAAACCGAUUGAAUUUUGAUUAAAAAAUUAUUUAAACUAUUUAGAACAUGAUCUAUACUCUCGAUCUUGGUUACAAGAUUCCUACCAUCACUUUUUAAAGAAUAUUCAUUUUCAGCCUUACAUUUUGUACCCACUUGAUGGACAAGAAAAUAAUAUUGAAAAAAUAUAAAAUUUGAUUUCUAGAUGCUUUAAAAGGUAUAGAUCAUGUUCAACAGUACUGAUCGUCGAUUUGGAGACUCUAUCAUCGAAAAUAAAUGGGUGGCAAUGAAGCCCGUUUGCUAGUAUUCUAACUCAACUCUCUCUCUCUCUCUCUCUCUCUCUCUCUCUCUCUCUAUAUAUAUAUAUAUCUCUCUCUCUCUACCCGGAGAUUAUUCCCACCACUGGGUGGGAACAAGUUGUUCCCACCCAUAACCCGGUAUGGGUACUUGGGUGGANAUUAAUAGCAAAAGGUUUUUUUUACUAUCAAAUUUUUAGCUUUUGGAUCAAUUUCUUUCAUCAUAUCUAACCAUUGGAUUAAAUAUUAUAACCCAGUGAGGACCACUCAAUCCUUUGGGGACUACUCAACACUAAAAGGGACUAAUUUUAUUCGGAUCAAUUUCUUUCAUCAUAUCUAACCAUUAGAUUAAAUAUUAUAACCCAGUGAGGACCACUCAAUCCUAUGGGGACUACUCAACUCUAAAAGGGACUAAUUUUAUUCUAACCCUUCAAUUUUAAUUUAAAGGUUAAACACUUGAUAGCAAAAAAAAUUUUUUGCUAUCAAUAGUAUUCCAACCUAGCUCUCUCUCUCUCUCUCUCUCUCUCUCUCUAUAUAUAUAUAUAUAUAUACUUUGAGAAUGUUAGGAAAUAUGGUAAUCGUACGUGUCCCACUCUAAGCAUAGGAAAUAUAAUACUAACAUAAUAGAUCUUUACUAUUGAUAUAUCAGGUGGCCCAAUACUUUCCCAGAAGUUGCCGCAGUUGACACCCCAUCUUUCCUUAGACCACACAGUAAUGCUUCACGUUGAGGAUUCAAUUCCACACUAGCAUAUAUAAAUACCCUCAAGGGUGGUACAUGUGAGGUGUACGUGUUGUUGCUCUCUCCUCCCUUUCUAUUUCUUCCCCUCUUGGAUUUAAAAGACAAAUUAAUUGGAGAGAAAAACCAACACAAAACAAAAAAAAAAAAAAAAACACACAAAAAGGGAAUUAAGUUUUUGAUACAUAGAGAGAAAGAGAGAGAGAGAGAGGGGGAGUUUAGAGAGUACUGUUUUGGUGUAUUUAAGAGAGUAUACAUACGAAGUUAAUUAAGAUGGUGAGAGCUCCAUGCUGUGAGAAGAUGGGGGUGAAGAAGGGGCCAUGGACUCCCGAAGAAGAUCGAAUACUCGUAGAUUACAUACAAAGAUAUGGCCAUGGGAAUUGGCGCGCACUACCGAAACAAGCAGGUAAUUGUUUAACCCUGAUUGUUCAUGUAGUUAUGAACACUCAAAGUUUUUAAAGGAUUUUAAGUAAAUUAUCUUUGAUUCUAAUAGUGAAUCACGCGCGCUUUCUCUUCUAUAUUUUCUAGGUCUAUUGAGGUGCGGGAAGAGUUGCAGGCUCAGAUGGGCCAACUAUUUGCGACCGGAUAUAAAGCGAGGGAACUUCACGAAGGAGGAAGAGGAGAUGAUCUUCAAAUUGCAUGAGUUGCUUGGGAAUAGGUACAGGCCAAUCAUUCUAUGUUGCCCGACAAGCGGGUAGUAUGAUUGAAUAAUUCAUUAACAUUAAUUAAAAAAAAUGUUGGCUUGAUAAAGAUGAAACUAUUAUCAAGCAUAUUACAUAAGUCAACACUCUCUCUUUCCCUUCUUUUAUUCUUUCACAACACUCAUUACAUAAUAGAGCAAAAGAUAUAUAAAGGUAAAAAACUAUAUAUAUAUAUAUAUAUAUAUAUAUAUAUAUAUAUAUACCCCCUAGAAGAUAGGUGCCCCAACUAUAUUUUAAUUUUUUAAGACUUUCUCAAUUUUUCAUUAUUUUGAUUAUUUGUCUAUUAGUUUAGAAAUUUGAUUUUAUUAAAUUUAAAGACUUAAACAUCUUAAUUUCAGCAAAUCGAACAAGCUAGCUAGUACAAGUUUCAUUAAUCAUUAAUAUAAGAGCUAAUUGUUCAUUCAUAUAUAAAACAGUUACUAGAAUAACUUAACCCAUAACCCAUAUAAAGUUGAGGGUGGUUCUCAAUAAAAAAAGAAAAAUUUUAAAAAUGGGGGGCCAAUUUAAGAAUAGCCUAUAGUUAAUGGGGUUAGGCCACAUUUUUUCUAAGGAGAAAUUUUGACUGGAGAGCUCUAAGGAUUCUUUUUACAUUUGACUUAAUCACCAAUAUUGAAAAGAAACCAUGUAGCAGUAUCCUUUUGGACCACAUACAUUUAUACUGCACUGUGAGCAUCACCACCCCACAUUGGUUCAUGCAUCUCAUUCACUUGUCCUUUCAUGUCUCCUGCAGGGAUAAUUAUAACAUAGAAGCUAAAUAAAUAAAUAAAUAACUAGUGAACUUUUGCAUUUCCAUUUUACCAUGAGGAAUUUAGCUCAAAUCUAGGUGAUGCCAUGUCUUUAAUAUUGACAGAGAGAAAGAUUUAUUGAAUCUGAUCAUUAUUUACUAAUUAUAAGUUAAAUUUUUAUUUGCUCACAGAUGGUCGGCGAUUGCUGCGAGGCUACCGGGUCGGACAGACAACGAGAUCAAGAACGUGUGGCACACAUACCUAAAGAAGCGCCUCAUGCCGAAUCAAACGGUGAAAGAGUCCAAGAAAAGGGCCAUUCACACUAGCGAGCCCAAGACCGAGUCCAAACCGAUCAUCCCCCGAUCCGACUCGGGCUUGGCCACAUCACCCGAGUAUUCGAUGAGUGGCUUCUCGUCCUCAGUUGCCGACGGUAAUUCAGCUGCCACAGUUGAAGAGAGCUUCUCUUCGGAAGAGUUCACAGAAAUUAUCGAUGAGCGCUUUUGGUCGGAAACACUUUCGAUGGAUGAUUGUUUUGCGACCACCAUGCAAUAUGGAGCUUCCGAAACCCCUUCGGGUGAUCAAAUCAACGAACCAUCGUUGAGUCCGCUCUCGUCGAAUAGUGAAGGGAUGGAGUUUUGGUGGAGGGUCUUUAUGGAAGCUGGAGAGAUGAAGGAUUUGGCACUAAUCUAAUUAACUAAGCACAGGGAAAUGAAAAUUAACAUCACCAAUUAAUUAAUUUUCUGGAUAUACUCUUUUUUUUUUUUUGAAUAGUUCAUAUGUACACUGACCAAUGAGAAGUACUGGUGGAUUCAGAGUUUGAAAAAGUAACCUUGAAGGAUAACAGUGGGUUAAGAAAAAAUUGGAAUAGAGCUUUUUUGCUCCUUUUGUUUGUGGAAAAAUAGGAAAGGAUGUGGGUGUCCUUCGGAUUUUGGCAAAUACCAAAACAUUGUAUGGUACUACUAAAGGAAUCUACAAUACUUUUAUAUUCACCAACUUUUCGAAUUAUUAAUGAUCUUGCAGUGCUUAAUUGGUAGUGUUUUCUGAGUUACUGCAAAUUUUUUAAUUAAACGAAUUCCCUUAAUAUCGAAUCGUAGUACUACCAUUGAUUUUUCUAGUUUGAAUGCUAGCUGGAAUGAAUAACUAAUUAAGUGUCUCUUAUUACUCGUUUAUAAAAACCCUAUUUGAAUGUAUAAAACAUAUAUAUAAUAGGUUUACUAGACUUCUAUGAUUAUGAUUUCUUUGUUUUUAUAAUUUUUUGCCGUUGGAUGUAGAAAUAUGCAGUUAGGAUGAUAAUUGUCUCCCGUUAGAAUAAUAGUAAUUCUCUAAAGUUAAAUGGAUGGUUGGUUAAAUAAUAUAAUCUUACGGGUGGAAAUGAUCAAAGAUGUAAAUCUAACGAUCAAAAACUUAUCAGUACCAAAAGAUCUAUAUUCAUAAGAGUUAUAUAUAUAUAUAUAUAUAUAUAUAUAGAGAGAGAGAGAGAGAGAGAGAGAGAGAGAGAGAGAAG
RNAcentral lists this long non-coding RNA (56530 nucleotides) under Ananas comosus (pineapple). RNAcentral describes it as "long non-coding RNA (ACOM_LNC004779)". Lineage: Eukaryota; Viridiplantae; Streptophyta; Magnoliopsida; Poales; Bromeliaceae. The record is from RNAcentral.